UUAAAAUAUGUGAUAUAUAUUUUAAUUCAGAAAAAAAAAAAUUUAAAUCUUAGAACCUUAUAAUAAGGACCAGAGGGCAGUACUGAAAAUCGUUUUGUGUAAUAAGAUGAAAAUUCAUUUAAAUUUAGAAAUAAGUGAGAUCUUGGUUUAAGACUAAAAGACAAUAGCAUGCGUUUUUGUGUAUUUAUCUUAUGUUUAGGUUUUUUAAUAAAAAAUAAUUUCAAUAAAAUAAAUAAUCUAUUAAAUUAUUGUUGUUAUUGUUAUUAUUUUUAAUAAUUCAAAAAUCAUUUAUAAUAUAAUAAUAUUAAAUUAUCAAAACAAAUAAUUUAAAUAAAAUAUUUUAUCAGAUUAAGGGGUCAUUUGGCAAAUCUGAAUCUAAAGUUGAUGAACGAUUAAUAUAUCUGAAUUGAUUAGUUAUCUGAAUACUGAAUGAAUAAUCUCAUUUGAUAAAAAUAUAUUUUAGAAAUCUGAAUCAUAAUAAAUUUUAUUUUGAUCUUUAAAUUUUAAUAAAAUUAUCACUUGACAUAAUAAUGUUAAAUAUAAAAGAACCAUUUUGAACCAAUUAUAAUAUAAAUUAAUCAAUAAAUAUUAUAUUAUAUACACAUAUAUAUGGGUGGAAUAAUAAAAUCAAAAUUAAUCAAUAUAUUUAAAAUAAAAACAAUAUUACACGAAUAUGCUUAGAUUUUUGUGUGUUUUUAAUUAUAUUUAGAUACUUUAUAAAGAAAAAUAAAAUAAAACAAAAGUAGGUGGAUACAGUGAAAGCAGAGGGAUACAGUGCAGGGUUAUUAGCUGAGCGCUACAGCCAGUCAAUUGUAUAUGACUCGGUCAGCAACUGUAUUGAUUCAUUCGGCCACAUCCAGCAAGCCAAAAACCGUAACAAACAAACUUAUUAAACUGAAUCGUUCAAUUCAUAUCUAUUCAGCCCUUUCAGCAGCAAACAAAUGGCCCCUAAAUCACCGGAGCUCAAGUCAUGAUUUUAAACUUUGAAGUUUGGAACAAAUAGUAUCAUUGGGCCUAGGCCUGAAUUGUUUUUAACGGGUGGAUCAAAAGGCUGCCUUGUCAGUGAAACAGAUCACACAAGGCAAACCACUCACUAUUUUAGUCAAGACUGUUUCUUGAAACUUUUCAUGGGCCUAGUCGGGAUUUCCAAUUGGGAAUUUUCUUAUUAAUUGAGCCUGAUAUAAAUUCAGAGAAGAAAUUGUCAUGCUUUAAUUUCCAGCUUUCCAUGGAAUACAAAAAUACUUAAAAGUAAAUAAAACAAAAGACGUGGCAAAAAAAAAAAGAUAAGAAAAUGCAUUAGAAUAUAAAAAUGUUAUUACGUAUGUAUUUAGGUACGUCAUUUAAGUAUGUAAUACAAAGUAAUGAUAAUUUUAUUAUUUAGAAUAUACUAAAUAAUCCCAUAAAAUUCAUUGUUUUAUGAAGUUCAAAAUAUUCCAUCAUCAUCAGCAUUUUAUACCAUCACAUUUUAAUAAAUUCUUAACCAUUCUAAUUGAAUAUCAUUGAAUUUUUAAAUAUAAUUUAAAAUCCUAAUUGAAUACCACCUGAUUUUAUAGUAUAAUUUAAAUUUUUAAUUGAAUGUCUUCAUACAUUUUUUUAAAUGUGAUUUGAACACACCUGUUUUGACAAAUAAAUAAAGAAUUUUCCAAAUUUCAAUUGAAUACACACCUUUCUAAACCAAAUUAGUAAUAAGAAGUAUCAAUCCUUAAAUUAUUGUCCAUGUUAGGCCUGUAAACGGAUCGGAUUUGGAUCGGAUCUAGCUAAAUCCAUAUCCUAAUCCAUUUAAAUUUAUCGGAUUCGGAUCGGAUCGGAUCAGGAGUCGGAUAUUUUACAAGUCAAUCCAUAUCUGGUCCACUCGGAUCAUGGAUAAUCGGAUCGGAACCCCGAUCCACAAAAAAUUAUGAAAUAUAUAUUUUUACCGUGAACAAUGUUUUAACUUCCAUUAAAAAAAGUGAUAUUUUCUAACUAUAUUAAUUCAUAAACUUUAGCGUAAUAGGUAAAAAAAAACUAAUAAAGAUAAAAACUUUGUUGGUUGUUCCUAUAAAAACUUCAACACAGAAUUUAUCAAGUAAAUAGAAAAAUAAUAGAAAAAUAAUAAAUAAGUUGCUUAUUACUUUUGGUGGAAGCAAAUUAUGAUUUGCUCCUUUAUUAAUAAGGAUUAAAAUUGAUAAAUAUGUCUUAAAUACAGAACCAGGUGAUUGAGGAGGUUUUAAGUGAAAGAGUUAGCUACUGUGUUUAUACUCACUCUGCAUAAAAAAAGAGUGAUUAUUAGAUUAACCGGAUAACAAGAGUGAUAGCCAUGUCAAGAAUUAGGAGCCGACUGAUCGAUUAUAAGAAAAUAUGAUUUAGGGUUUUGUCUUGUAUCUUUAGAAAUUUUUAUUUUGUAUGUAAUAUAUUAAUAAUAAUAUAUUAUAUUAUAAUACAAUAUAAUAUAUAAUAGUAUAUAAUAUAGUUAAGCAUGAAUCGGAUCGGAUCGUUAACAGAUCGGAUUUGAUCAUAUCUAUAUCCAUUCUUUAUCGGAUCAGAUUAUUAGCAGAUCGGAUUUUUUUAAUAAAGAUCCAUAUCCAUUUGUUUCACUACGUAUCGGAUCGGGUCGGAUCGGAUAUCCGAUCCAUUUACAGGCCUAGUCCAUCUACAAUAAAAGAGAAAGGGAGUGCGAGAUUUUGUUGUGAACUACGUAUCUUCAAUUUUGUAGGAUUUUUAUUAUUGAACAUUCCAUCUCAGCUGAUUUGAAUCACGAUCCCUGUCAUUGCUAGAUCUUGUUAAGAGUUGCGUGAAACAUGAAAAUCAUCUCAGAUUUAUAACUAGCUGCUUUCCAACGACCUGAAUGCAAGUCUACCAAACAAAAGAUUUGAGGAUGUAGCACGAACCAAGGAGAGAUAAUUUAAUACUUUGUCCGACCCAUUUUAGUUGUCACAUUUCUAUUUUUGUUAGUCAAAUUGAUUAAUUUUUUAUCAGAGAUUAUAAAUCAUUUUUUCAUUAUUUUAAAAAAUUGAAAAUUAUAUUUUAAAAUAUAUUAAAAGUUAUUUCCGAUGAUAUAUAUUUUUUAUUUUUUUAAUUAAUAAAAUAUUAAUAAAUCUCAGUCAAAUUUUGAUCAAUUUAACCGGUACAAAAUCAAAAGCGGCAACUAAAAUGGGACAGAGGAAGUCCAUUCUCAUUCCGUCAAGUUUUAAGAACAUAGAACAACAAUACAGAUGCACCAAAGUGCUGAAAUCUACGUCAUAAUGUGAAGUGACGUUUUAAUAUACAUAGAAAUUGACUUCGACUAAAAUCCCGGAAAAAUUGUGACCAUAAAUCUGUGUUCUAAAAAAUCUCGAUUUAAUCGAUUAAUCUCUUACAAAUGAUCGAUUGAUCCGAUUAAUUUUUAUAAUUUUUUCUUAAUCGAAAUAUAUAUAAAGACUUAACAAAUUAAAAUAUUAUAUUACUUUAAAUAUGAAUAAUUGUAGAAUUUAUGAUAUUAUAAAUAUAUAUUUGUUAAUAAAUAAUUAAUAUAAUAAUAAUUAAACAUUAAUAAAUAUUUUAAUAUCAAAACACAUCCGGUUUUCAUUCCAAUUGAUCUCCGAUUUCUCAUUAAUCCUACAUCGGUCAUCGAUUUCUGAUUUUAUAUAACAUUGCUGUGAAUUCCGGAAUGCAGCUUAACUGAAAAUAUAAUUUUAUUGCAAUAUCGAAUUUAAACAAACUUCGGGCUCUCUCUCUGUCUCUUUUUUUUUUCUUUUUUUUUUCGGUCACAUGUUGAUCCAACAAGACCACGAAACAGAUAUAAAGAUGAGGAAAUAUCUAAGGUGUGGUUCGUCGUGGAGGAUGCUAAUGGCCGACAAGCACAUCUUUUAUUACUCUAACUUGCCUCUACAUCCCCAUAAGCCUUUUCUUCUUUUCAAAAGAUGAAAAAUAUAGGGCCUUGCAAUUUUGCAAAUUCUGAGAGCAACUUCGCACCAUUCAAGAGUCAAGACCCAUCGGCCAUGCCUACUCACUUUUAACUUUGUGAACUUUAACAUCUCCUCGGAACUCAAAGAUAUCAUGUCGAAAACAUCGCGUAGAGCUGUAAAAUGUAAGUUUCGGAGUCUAUGUGAUGCAUGACUCGAAGAUCUCGUGUCGAAAACAUGCAUGAGGUGAAAUUCGUGACAGCGGAAUGUGGACUAAUCCUUCCGCCCUUAUUCUAGUGAUCCACGUGAUUGUCACUAUUUUUAAUUACGGUUUUAAUACAUUCUACUAAGUUAAAUUAAUGUAAUUCAAGCAGGUCGAGUUCAAACUCGUUAGGUUUAAUAACACCCUGCCCGGCCCUAGCUUGUAUAUGAGCCGAGUUUGAACAAGAUUUCAUAUCCGUUUAAUUAAACAGACCGUCUUGACUCGUAAAAUUAAACGGACCGUCUUGACUCGUAAACUUAAACGAGUCGAGUUUUUAUAAAAGUAUAGACUCGAUUAAAUGUAAAAUUAACAAGCUGACUUGACCUACUUGCUAAAAUAGUAAAACUAGCUAGUUUGGCUAACUAAACAAACUGACUCGACUUGACUCGUGAGAUAAAACGAGUCGAAUUUGAAUAUAGAUUUUGACUUGAUUAAGUUAAAUGAGUCAAGCCGACUCAAUUAAUCUCGACUACCAAUUAUGUCCGGUUCAAACCUCGACUCGCUCAACCCGAACUCUAAAAAAAUGUAUGGACCACAUAAUCUCGUAAUUUAUUUUUUGUAUAUAAAAUUUGAUCUCGAUAUUAACAGAUCAUCUAAUUUGGGAUGAAUGGAAGAAUAUCGCUUCGUACUUCAUUUAGCUUGUCAUAUUUAAUUAUAACAAGUAUCGAGAUAAUAAAUUUAAUUUUUAUUUUCUUUGAGGGAAAAAGUUAAAAAUAUGAAUAUGGAUGAUCCAACAAUAAGAGGAGAGAGCCACAAGAAAUAAGCAGGAAUGAAACCAACAAGAUAGAUACAGAAACAACAUGAAGGCAUGUGCAGGAGUCAAGUCUCAAAUUGAUAGAGAUGAAACAACAUUCCUACUUCCAUCUUCUUCAUCUUAGCUUUUAGUCAUUCAACUUCAUCUUCCUAUCAUUUUAUCUUUAUUCAAUGCUUUUACAAUGAGGUAACAGCCAGGCAUGGCCCCUGGACUAGCGCGCACACACAAUUAUACAAAUAUCAACAUCCCCACGAAUGGAACAUUCACUCUAAUUAAACUACGCUCACUUUAAAACCGUUUGUUAUAGUUACGAGACACCAAAUUCAAUGCAAACUUAGUUAUGGAACCAGAGAGAAGUUGAUUCAAAUUUAAAAUUCUGAUAUUUAAGAAUUUUGGUUUAUUUUGAACAUUAUAUUUCCUGAAUGGGUUUGUUUAGUGUGUGCUCAUGGACACACAUUAUACCCUAAAUUUGAUGGUUUUGGUGGAUUUUGAUUGGUUGACUUGAUGUAAAUGCAGGAGGGUCAUCCUCAUUUAUGAUUAGGUGAUCAAUAAAAAUGCACCAAACUCAUAGGAGUUAGUGCUUAUUGUGUGCCCAUGGGUACAACAUAGAAUAAUCGUUCCUGAAUAUGAAGUUUAAGAGGAAGAAAUUUAUUUCAACUAUUCAUCUUGCGUGAAUAGCUACCACUCUAUUCUUUUCUUAUUAGUCGCUGACAGGGUUUCCAUCAGUUUUCAACGGUUAAAAGUCUCAAAUUAGUUAACAUUUUUUGGGUUGUUCUUGUUUCUCAACGAUACUUUUCACUGAAUUUGUUUUCGAUGAGUUUUGUUCUGAAUCUAUUUGAGUUUUGUUUAUGUUCUCUUUGUAAAAGUUUGACCGUGUUUUUUUUUCGCCUUUUAGUCUAAUUUCAAUAUCUAGUGCUGAAUUUUCAAGAUUUUAAUUUUAUAAUAAAAUUAUGUAUGAAUUGUAAUUAUCGCUGAUAUCUUAAACGGAUCGAUGAAGCGAGUGCACGUAAAUAUAUCUAUUUCUAAACAGUCAUAUCUACACGAAAACUGAAUUAAUCAAUGAUACAAUUUAUAUUAUAUUUUUUAGAUGUCCUGUGAUCUUUUACUAUUGAAUUAAUUCCUACUCACUAAAAAAAGGAGAAUAAUUUUUAGCCUAAUUCCAGUAAUGUUUUGACUUGAAGAAUGCAGCUAGAUAUAUGAUAUUUAUUUAAAAGAAAGUAAUCGGUCAGCAAUUAUUGGAGACAAUUGCAUGUGCGAUUUUGAAAUGCCAUGUAUGAAUGUAUGUAUAUCAUUUAGAUUUGAACCUAACCAUAUGGUCGUUUUGUGCCUGAAUUUUAGUUGUUGCCAGUUGAAUGGUCCCUUCUCCGGCAUUCUAAUGUUCCAGCUUCCGACUUGGUUAGUUAUAAGAAUUCAGAUACUUGUGUCCAAUCCCUUUUGUUUUGAUUGUUUAGACGUUUCUUCUGUCCAAUAUAUUGAUUAUUAGGAUUGGAAAAUCUUGUCGCUCAAAUAAAUAUUGUAGGCAUGUGAAUUUCGAUGUGCAAACAUUAUUUAGCUACAAUUUUGAUGAGAGGAAGUUUAUAUAGUUAUGAUAAACAAACUAGUUUAUCUUUAAUCUAUAAAGAUGAUGUAUUUCCUUUUUUAUACAUCAAGUAUAUUAUUCUAAUAUGACAAUGACUGUAUGAAAUCUUUUUAAAGUCUUUUAAUUUUAAGAAAUAUAAUCAAUAUCACGGGAUUGGUUAGGUUUAUUAAUAUACAAAAUUAUCCCGAAUAAAUUUAUAAACAUGAGAGACUAUUACAUUAGGGUGGAUUUUAUAACAUAUUCUUUAUUGUAUUAAUAACUUUUAUCCAUUUUCAACAAAAUUUUAAUCAACGUGCAUGAUAGAUGUCACUUAUUCUUAUCGACUAAGUUAACUCGUAAAGCUUAGAAUUCAUGUAUUUACUAAUUUAUUUUACUGAUUUUUAUUAUUUUUAACAAGGUAAAGUAUGUUCAAUUAAUAUUCAAUUUUAAAAUAUUUAACUAUAGUGAAUUCUAAUUAUGCAACCUACAAAUACUUACUUUAUCAAAUGAGUAAUAUACAUUUAUAACUCAAAAAAAUUUAUUCAUGCUCAAAGAUCCUAAAACUAAGGUCCUAUUUGAAAGUUAGAGAUUUUGAACAAAAUUAGAGGUUUAAGGAGUUUUUGAGGUUUGACCACUAAAAUAAGAUAAUAUUAGUGUUUGUUAGUUAGCGGAUUGAAAUAUAAGUUUGGAUCCAAAAAGUUAAUUUUGAAAAGCUAUUUUGAAGAGUUUUUUGGAUUAAUAGUUUUAGUUUGUGUCAGAAAAAGUUAAUCAAUCAGCUAUUUACUAAACAGUUUUAUGAAAAACAACUAAUUCAAUCCGCUAGUGAAAACAUGUAAUUCAAUCAGCUAGUCAAACCUCUAUGGUCAAAAUUUACAGCAAUCACCGGGGUGAAACAGUGUCUAACUUUCAGGAAUGUUUGAAGACCUUUGUUUGGCCAAGUUUGACUUUCUCUAAUCUUAAACAUCAAGCCAUAAGCCACAAGUACAUUCUCAAUAACUUUCUUUAAUCUAGAAGUGGAAUCAUUCAUUCCAUCACUACUUUCACCCCUAUAUAAAUUCUUCAUUUGCCUACAUUCUUUUUAUUAGUCUACUCCACUCCAAAAGAAUAUCACACACACUCUGCCUCACCCUCUUUCAUCCAAAUGUUCAUGCACAGAAUCUGAACUGCACAACAACAGUACUUCUUGCAGAGGUCACCAGUAUACCUCGCAAUCUGAUACACGACACGAAAACACGAAAACGUAAAAGUAUGCUCAUGCAGACUUAUAUGUUUAAGUACUUAUAAAUUUUUAGACUUCGGGAGUUUUUUUUUUUUUUUUUUUUUGCAACCAUGAUUUCUUGGUAUGAUAUUUACACGGUCUUGACCGCGGUGUGCCCGCUCUACGUGGCCAUGAUUCUGGCCUACGGCUCGGUCCGGUGGUGGAAGAUUUUCUCACCGGACCAGUGCUCUGGCAUUAAUCGCUUUGUCGCGAUUUUUGCCGUGCCACUUUUGUCCUUCCAUUUCAUCUCCAACAAUAAUCCCUAUGACAUGAACUUCCGGUUCAUAGCCGCGGACACGUUGCAAAAAAUAAUAAUGCUCGUGGUCCUCGGCAUAUGGGCUAAAUUGAGCAAAAAUGGUAAUCUCGAAUGGAUGAUUACGAUUUUUUCUCUUUCGACGCUUCCCAACACUCUUGUCAUGGGAAUUCCUUUGUUGAUCGCUAUGUACGGGGAUUAUUCGGGUAGUUUGAUGGUUCAAGUUGUGGUUUUACAAUGCAUCAUUUGGUACACUUUGCUCUUGUUUCUGUUCGAAUAUCGAGGCGCUAAGAUGUUAAUUAUGGAACAGUUUCCUGAAACUGGUGCAUCCAUUGUGUCGUUUAAGGUUGAAUCUGAUGUUGUUUCGUUAGAUGGUCAUGAUUUCUUGGAGACUGAUGCGGAGAUUGGGACUGAUGGAAAGCUUCAUGUGACUGUCAGGAAGUCGAAUGCUUCCCGGAGAUGUUUGGGGAUCGGGUCGGGUUCGGGGAUGACUCCAAGGCCUUCGAAUCUCACUGGAGCUGAGAUUUAUAGCUUGAGUUCGACUCCGAGGGGAUCGAAUUUUAACCACAAUGAUUUUUACUCUAUGAUGGGGUUUCCUGGUGGGAGGCUUUCGAAUUUUGGACCAGCUGAAAUGUAUUCGGUUCAAUCUUCUAGAGGUCCUACCCCGAGGCCUUCGAAUUUUGAGGAGAGUUGUGCUCCUGCUCUGCCAAUAACCUCUCCCAGGUUCGGGUUUUAUCCGGCUCAGCCAGCGCCUACUUAUCCGACACCUAAUCCUGAGAUCGCGUCAGGUGGUACUAAUAAAUUUGCGAAGCCUCAGACAAUGCCUCAGGCGCAGACAAAUGUGGUGCAGCAAAAUGUGGCUCAGAAUAAGGGGGGCAAUGAUGGUAAGGAGUUGCAUAUGUUUGUGUGGAGCUCAAGCGCGUCGCCUGUUUCUGAAGGAGGUGCUCUCCAUGUGUUUGGAGGCACUGAUGGCGCUGCUGAACAAUCCGGAAGAUCGGAUAAGGAUGUGAAGGAAAUUAAGGUUGUGACUGCUGAUCACCCACAAAAUGGGGAGACCAAAGGUACAACAUUUGUACUAAUGUGUUCAGAUUUUUUUUUAAAGAAUUUUUUUUAUAUUUUCUAAUUUGUUUUCUUGAUUAUGAUGUUAAGCUGCUCGAGGAAGUGAGGAGUUUGUGAGUGAUAAUUUGAGCUUUACUGGUGGCGGUAGAGAUGAGGCCGAGGACAGAGAGAAAGAGGCACACAUGGGAGUGUCGAAAUUGGGGUCAAGUUCUAGUUCUGUACACCAGCCUGCAGAUCAUGAUAUCGGCACUGGGAAAUUAAUGCCUCCGACGAGUGUGAUGACUCGUUUGAUACUGAUUAUGGUGUGGCGGAAGCUUAUAAGGAACCCGAACACUUACUCUAGCCUCAUUGGUCUAAUUUGGGCUCUGGUCUCUUACCGGUAAGAAAGUUACAAAUCAUUCAUGUUAGUUUGAUAAUGUUACUGAAUUACAUUAUAAUUCUUAGAACAUGCGUAAUGUUCCUUUCGGAUUUAAUUCUAGGUGGGAUGUCGCGAUGCCAAAAAUAGUGGAUAAGUCCAUUCAUAUACUGUCUGAUGCUGGACUGGGGAUGGCUAUGUUUAGCUUAGGUGAGUAAUUGGUAAUUAAGAAGUGAUUAUGGUAGAUGUUUUCUUCGUUAAACUUUAUUCGAUACAUCAACAGCUGUAAAAUGAAAAUCUUGAUCCGACAUGAGGGGCCGAGGUCCAAGCAGUUGUGAUAAGUGGGCAUCACAUUGUUGGAUGCAUGAUUCAUUCUUAGCCGAAAGCAUAAAGCUCGUAUUCACAUUUACAACUGUAUGUGUCUCCUGAUUUUUGUCUUGUGAUCUCUCUGAACAGGGUUGUUUAUGGCCCUGCAACCCAAGUUAAUCGCCUGUGGCAACAAAAUGGCCACCUAUGCAAUGGCGGUCAGGUUUCUGACAGGUCCGGCUGUGAUGGCCGUGGCCUCUGUGGCUGUUGGCCUUCGCGGUACCCUACUCCAUGUCGCGAUUGUGCAGGUAAUGAAAUAAGUUAAAGUUGUCAAUUAAAUAGAAAAUUUAGGAAUCUGGCUUUUCAUAAUGUGGAACAGAGUGAUGGGGCUCAUGUGUUACACUUUAGAAAAACAAGGUAGCGAACACAAAUAGUGUAAAGUUAGGUGACAUGUUUCAUGUUUAUGUAUUCUGAUGAAAUGUCUUUAAAUUUGCCAGGCUGCACUUCCACAAGGGAUUGUUCCAUUCGUGUUUGCGAAAGAAUACAAUGUUUAUCCAGCAAUACUUAGCACUGCGUAAGAUUUCCUAAUUCGCCAACUAUUUAUUAAUAAAUUAAGCUCCCCUCGUGUUAUAAUACAACUCACCUGAAAUUUUAGGGUCUGAGAAAAAUAAGACAUGACCUGUACUGCUGUAUAUUUAUUUCAUUUUUGUUUUUUUGAAUGUUACAGGGUUAUCUUUGGAAUGUUAAUAGCCUUACCUAUCACUCUCGUUUACUACAUUCUUCUUGGUUUGUGAUGACAUUACUGAAUUUCCAAGCGUGAACGCGAAAAAUGAAGAAAAAAAGGUGAAUUCAGAACAAAUGCUCAGAAGGGGCAUUGAUCAUGGCUGCCUCAGGAUUAUAUAUUUGGAGAUUUUCUUGUAGGGGAAGUGAUUUUACGAUGAAACCGAGGCUUGAACAUGGUAUCGGACUUAAUCUGACUCCUGAUGAGUAUGGUAUAGUGACGAGAAAUAUGAAGUAGAUGCCGGAACUUGGAGAAAAAUGGGAGAAGCUAGUUAAGUUGCACAAGGGAGCAGAUGAACAAGGACAUGGAGUGAUGAUAGUUCAUGCAUUCUCUUUGUAAAUUCUACUCUUGUAGAGCUGAAAUUGGUUUUUCUCCUGUAGGAGUAGGAUAAUGUGACAAGAUUAAGGAUUUUCAUCCUGGUUUUAUUGUUCAGUUAUACAUAUAAGUUCAAUGUUUUCACUGUUUUUCCUGGUGAAUUGGUGGUUGUAGGAAAAAAAAGAAGCUGCAUUAGCCAUUUAACAACUUGAAUUAGACUAAAAAAUAGCCAAACAAAAUUUUAGCUGUGUUCUCGUUGAGAGAUUUCAGCUCAAUGGUUAUAAAUUGCCAAAUUGGAGUGAUCAAAUCAUUCUGUUACAAAUCGUGCAUUUUUACGUACACAUUAAAAAUUGAAUUUAACAUAAAUCGGAUCUUAGUAGUCGUGAACUCGAUAUUCAUCAUUAAAUUAAAAUCUCAUCGGUGUGACGUUAUCAAGUGUUUUAUUUAUAAUAAUGUUGAAGAAAUCGAUCACAAAAUAUAUCAUAUACAAGAUCAAUCUCAUUACUCAAUACUCAUCGUUAGAUAGGAACUCGUCCAUAUCACGUUAUAUUAGUUACAUGAGCGUCCUAUGAUAUUAUAGGAGCAUCCAACAAUAUAAUUAUUUUAAUGGUCUUUUAAAAAUAAAAUAAUGUACUAUUUAUCCAUUUUCGAGCAUACGACCUGGUAUACGCAUAGUGCCUGUUUGAUUAGCAGGAGCAGUUUAAAUUUUUCUGGACUCGUUUGUUUAAAUAAAUAGAAAUAUUUUUAAAAAAUUGAAAUACUAACUUUUCUCACAUAGUCUCUACUUAUUUUCAACACUUUAUUAACUUAUUUACUGCUCACUUCUACUCCACUUCUCAAUUUUAGUGGAAUUCUCGACUGAAUAUGUAAAGUGUGACUAAAACGAAACAAAGAAAUUCUAAAACUUUAUUUACGAUCCUAAUCGAAACUAAUCCAAAGUACAGGUGAGGCUAGAUCAAAAAUUAAAAACGGGACGGAUGUAAGAUUGAAAUCUUCAAGAGUAUCAAGCAAAUAUCUGAAAAUAAUUUGCGUAUUUCUUAAAUUUUUAAAAAUAUUUAUACAAUUUUAUAAAAUUUAGAAGGGCGAAAAAAAUACAAAACACGCAUUUCCCGUACCACUGGUCAUAUUGGUCUUAGGUCAUGAGUCACGAGGGGUAUUCCUAGGAGAUCCAGAAUAGGGAGUGCUGUGAAAGAAGGAAACACACGUAGUCCUCUUUAUAUUGCUUCCACGCAAAAAAAUUCCCACCACUUAUCGACCAAUUCAAUCAACCCUUUUUUAUAAGCUGUCGCUUAAAUUUUUAGUACGUCUUUCCAGGGGGAGCGUGUCUACAAAAUCUCCACACUCCAAUGUAUCCAUAUUUACCCACGCUCACGCUUCCUCAGUAAAGGAUACACGUUUGUACUCUUUUACUGUUCUUCUGCUCCGGAACAAGAGUUAAAUUCUACCAGGUGGAUUUUUAUAAUAUUUGCUAACAGUUUGAUUUUUAGUAGUAUAUAAUUUAUCGGCCGAAUCAGAAUCUAGAGACUGAGGAUGAAAUAUUUCCAUAAUUAAAAUUUCAAUGAUUAAUCUUAAUUAUUUUGCUACUCUCAAAUUGAAUUAUGUAUUGCUCUCUAAAUAUGAAAUGAGACUUGAAAUAAAAGAUUUAAAUAAUUUUUUUUAGUUCAACCUUACUUUGAGAAUAAACCGAUCAUAUACGAUGAUCUUUUAUCAGCUAGGCUGUGUUCACUUCAUGGAAUGGAAUGAGGGGAGAAUGUAAUGAAAAAUUAUCUAGAAUUUUUAAGGAGAAAAAAGAAAGCAUGAGAUAAUUGUGACAAAAUAUGAAUGUAGUUAAUUUUUUUGUGAGAAAGAUUGUGAAGAAACAUGAUGUUGAAAUGGAAUGAGCAUUCCUUCCAAAACAUAACAUGUGGGUUAGAGUUAAAGUUAAAAUAGUAAGGUUGGAAUGAUUGAAAGAAUGACAAUUAUAUACAUUUUCUUUAAUCAACAUCAUUUUAGAGUACAAAAUUCAUUACAUUCUCCCUUCAUUCCAUUCACACCAAGUGAACACAACCUUAGUCAUUUUGACUCACCAAUGACAGUUAAGUAUUCCCUCGUCCCGUUUUACUGGGAAAAAAAAUAUUUCAAAAUAUCUGUCUCAUUUCCCUCUACAAAACAAUUUUUUGUAUGUAUUUUCAUAGACUACUCUUUGAAUACAGGUUUUCAUAUUUAAUUAUCCUCAAAUACACAUAAAUUAAUUUAAUUGAGUGCAUUUAUUAGAGGUAACAAUGAAAUCAGAUACUCAACUAAUUCUUUCUUAAGAUACAUAAUUUUAUCAAAAAGGAUAUAUAAAAGAGGACGGAAGGAAUAAUAAGAUAAGAGAGUAGAUUCCACCUGAUUAGCGAGAGAAUCCAAUUAUAAACACCUUGUUAGUAAUAAAAUUCCAAACACCUAGAUGGUAUACAAUCCAAUAUAUGUGCAACUCGAUCGGGCAAAAGUGGUACGAAUACAUGGACCAAAACCUCACUUAUUUAUAAAAAAGUUGGCAACUAUUAUAUAAGUCUAGUUCACAUCCACGACUCCCCCGACAAAACAAUCAUCUAAGCUCCACACCCAUAUGGACGCCCAUACUACGUACAUGUGGUGCUAGCUUGGUCUACUCAAACACACAUAUACGACGUGUCUCUAUCCGAUCGAAUCAGGAUUUCAAAUUAUGCUUUACUGAAAAAAAAUUAACAAUAAUGGUUGCUAAAACCGAAUUGUUCUACAUUUCUAAGGACAAAAUGAAAAAAUUCGUAAAGUUUUAUAAAUAAAUUUGAGAUUUAACAAAAAUUAGCUCCUUUUAGUUAAGUCUAACGUGCAUGCAUCACAUGCACAGGACCUUGACUCCUGAGGCCAAACUAGCUAGCCAUUGUGUAUUAUUGUGUUUUUCUCUUUGCAUAAAGUUAAGAUAUAGUGGGAGGAAAAACUGCAACUAAAGGUUAAGUAGGGACUCCGAGAAUGAAGUUCUCGGCAACGCUACAUGCAUCAUGCACAGAAUUAUUAAACAACUUUCAUGUACCCAUUGAUUGGAUACUACAUAUAUGAUAUAUCAUAUUUAUCAAUUAUCAUGUGUACUCGGGGAGAUUUAAUGGAAAAUAUAUGAACUCAUUAACUGUGGCGGAUCUGACUAUAAAGUUAAGGGAGUCAAUUUUUUUAUAAAAAAAAUUAAGAGGGGUCACAAAAAAAUUAAGAGGGGUCAAUUUCAAUUUUACAACCUAAAAAUAUGUAUAAUAUUACAAAAAUUAAAAUUUAAGGGGGGUCAAUUGGCCCCCUUCCCCUACUAAGAUCCGCCUCUGCUCAUUAAGAACUACGUACUCGUCGACAUUUAAUUUCGUUUAAAAAAACACUAAUAAUAUGUAUAUCAUUCACGCACAGUGUUUUGGAAAUUUCUGAUCCGUUUAAAAAUCUCUAAUUAAUUCUUAAGAAAUAUUUUACCGAUUUAUUAAUUACAUUUUGAUUUGAUUAGAAUCAUCCAUUUAUCAGAAAAUUCUCAUAAAUUUUCAAUAAAAUUUGAAUCACUAAAUUAAUCGACUCAUUUUGAUUUUCGAUUUCUUGACUUUGAACUCUUUUAUUUAAAUAUUAAAGGAGCAAGUGGGAGGGUGGAGGCUGGACAUGUAUGAAAAUAGAGAUGACACUAAAUACAUGCAAACAAAUGCACGUGAAAUUACAUUUCUCACACAGAUCCACAAAGAAUAGUUGUGAAUUGUGAUGACUAAUUAUUGUAGGGUGAAGGACAGACAGUGGGCUUGGGUUUUGGGCCCAGAAGAGUAAUGGAAAUUGGGGACCAUGUGUGUAAAGUUACGUGGAGGGUUUAACUUUUGUGUCCAUUAUUCAAAUCAGGGUCCAUUCGAAUUUAGUAGGGUUCUUGCUAUUUUUUCAUCUUCUCAUGAUUAAUUUAGUUUUCUGUAUAUUUAUGCCUCUUCCUGAGCUCAAACCAAAUCGGGACAUGAAGUAAUUUUAACUUGAUAGUCAAGUACAGUGCUAGUCCUGCAGCCUGCAGGUAGUGUUCCUCAGGUACUCACUCUGUUCAUGGCGAUAGAAAUCGAAAAAUAAAAUUAGUUGACUUGUUGAUUCAGAAUUUCAAUCGGGAUUUUUACUCAUAACAGAAGUUAUAAAUGUAAUCGAUAAAUCGAUAAGAUAAUUUUUAAGAAACCAAUGGGAGAAUCUUUUAAUAAAUUGAGAAUUUUUGGAACACAUGUCUCCGUUUGAAAAUGCAUUUUAAUUCAAAUUUGUUUUAAAAUGAAAUUGACCAUCUUGAUUGAAGUUUACAUACAAUAUCUAAUUAGAAUAAAUUAUAAAAAAUCAGUUAAAGACAAGACAACUGCAUGAACAAAUCUAGUUGCUAAUGAAAACAUAUCAACAUGUAUAUGGCAAUUGGUCUCUUCUAGGUUUAUAUUCUGAACUACUCCCCGUCUCUUCUAGGUUCAUUUUGAAAAAAAAAACAGGCAUAUUAAAAAAAAAUUAGUUAGAUAUGAUUUUAUCUAAUAUAUCAUUAAUUAGUGUAUUGAAAAGUAAGAGUAUAGUUGAGUCCAAAAAAAAAUAUAAUAAAUAUAGAUAUUUAGUGCAUUGAGAAAUGAGAAUAAAGUUGAGUUCCAAAAAAAUCACAAUAAAAUAUAAAGAUAAAUUUGUGUUGGAAAAAAAGAGUGACAUAUAAUUUAAAAUAAAUAUUUUUUUUUAAGUAAACAUGUAUAUUGAGUCGGAGUAACUUUAAUAUUUCUUGCGAUGCAACUCAUUUGGUUGGAUAUGAUGAACUAGUUUGUGGACUGUGGUCACUCACAUCAACUGUCCUUUCAUUUUUGGUCCCUUGAGUGACUCCUCUAGUUCCUCACUACUCCAAUCAUUUCUCAAAUUUCAUUCACUUUUCACUUUUCGAAAUUAAUAAAAAAAAUCCUCCUUUUGAAAAUAAUGAAUUCUCAACUUUUUGUAGUGCAAGAUUUGAGUAGAAUAUGUUGUAUGUGUUGAAAAAUGAAAAGCACGGAUGCAGGCUUUUCAGAAAAGAAAAGGGCAAAGUAUAGGGUAAAACUAAAGCUAGGAAAGAGGAGCAUGCACAUGGAGAUACAAAAUAAUUCUAUAUAUUAUCAUCAGAUACUUGUUCUUGAAUUUUUUAUGAGAUGUCCGUAUGGUUUUAUAUUAAAUUUUAAAUUAUUGAAAAAAAGUCGUAUAAUUGAUUUCGGUUUUGUUGAAAAAUGGCUUUUGUGUUGAAAUGGACUCGUAUAUUUUAUAUGCAUGCUAGUUUAAUUUUUCUUUUCCAAAUUAUGUUAAAUAGGCAAAAAACCAAAAUAUCAUUGGUUUUUACUUCUAUAAUAUCCUCAUUAAAAAUUUGAGCAUGUUUACUAGCACUACACUACUACUUCCAUGAAAGAUGAAACAAAGGAAAGAAAGAAGAACACUGGGCCUGGGCAAGUGAAAACCAGCCGAGAGAAGCCCAGUUAUAUAAUGACCAACGAACGAUAAAUGGGUUUGAGGAUUGGAUGCCCAGUGUUAAAGUGAGGAAGAAACAAUAAACAUAUAGGGCGUCUAACCUUUUUCAAAAUUAAUUUACGGGACUGAUCAUUAUUUCAAUUAAAUAACUGUUAAAAGAUAAUAUCAAUAAUUUACUUAAACCAAGUUUCUAAUAUAUUUUAAAACUCUAAUUUGUAUAAUUGUAUCUCAAAUGCCAGACUUCCAAACAUAAACUAUAUCACAUGAGUUAAACAUACAUGUCCUUAUGUGACUUUGUCUUAUAAUGUGAUUGAUAACCGUGGUGAAAGUAAGAUUUUUAUAUUUAUAAAAAAGUUGUAUUCAAUAAAAUGAAUAUUGUUUGGUUUGUAGGUAAUAUAAGAUUGAAAAUUGAUUUUUUUUUCAUAAUAUUUUAUAUGUGAAAAAAAAAACUAAUUUUACAGAAAAAUGUGAAAAUUUUUGGUUCCUUCCCACCAAUUAGCAAGGUUAAGUCAUUUUCAUCGGAGUUGCCUACACGGUUAUGAUUGGAUGACUCAAAUUGAAACAGUUUAUUGGAGGAUACCGACUAUAAUUUAUAUUUUAAUUAUUCAAGUCAUUAUGUACCCUUAUACAUUGUACCUAUUUUUAUUUAAUUAUUUCAUUUUCUCUUUAUAUCAUUUUCAAAUAAUAAAUUUUGAAAAUGAUACAGCAUGUACUUCAACCAUUUUGCAUAAGUCACUAUACAAAAUUUAAACUCUGCCUCUCUCGUUUUGAAUUUUAAUACAAAAGCUCCCCUCCUUCAUGUCCACUUGAACCAUCAUAAUUGUAAAACUAGCGCCUCGAGUAACAAGUGGGGGACGACGGCCUUGACGACUUAAAACGUUAUUUUACAAAAAUGAGCUGAUUUAUCAUCGAUUUUUAUAUUAUAUCAUGUUGGCUUUCAGAACUAAAAACGAUUUAUCACAUUGUUAUAUUAUAAUAUUCGAUUCGUUUUGAAAUAUAUGUCGUUCGAUUUUUUCAUUUUUUUUUGAAUGCUUGAUUUUUUUAUACUUAAUUCCGAAGCAUUGUUAUAUUAUAAUAUUCGAUUCGUUUUGAAAUACAUGUCGUUCGAUUUUUUUCAUUUUUUUUAAUGCUUGAUUUUUUGAUACUUAAUUCUAAGUUCUUCGACUGCACAGUUAAAAUUUUUAUUUUCGAAGUUUUUUUCUUUUAAAUCAAAUAUCAAUCAUAUAUUUUUCUUCAAAAAAAUUUAAAAUAAUAAUUUUGUUAAUACGAUCAAAAAAUUUAGAAAUACGUAUUAAAAAAAUCAAAUAACGGAAGUGCUUGUUAGAACACGGAGUCUUACUAACCCUGCAUUCGCAUGAGUAAUUUAAGCUAUAUCCCUCAAGUGUCAAGGCCAUAACUUCACACUUCACAAUAAAGUGCGCAAAAAAGUAGAUACAAAUAAAAGCAAAACAAGAAGAUUUAUCGACCCAAUCCCACCCGUCCGAUUUCUAACAGAACUCGAAUAAGCCUGAUCAGUCCCAUGAGGAGGCUUCUUGUAGUAAUACGGGAACCAAGGCACUAAAGCAUCGGGAGCAGGCGGAGUGACACCACUCAUCCGAUAAGGUGGAGAAGGGUAGUUUGGUAAUAAGCCUGUCGGCGGAGGGUAAAAUGAGCCGCCCGUGGGUGACGGCGGAGGUAGGGUGGCUGGCGGUGGAUAGUUCCCGGGCCCCGCCGGAGGAGAAGGGUAGCAUGGGUAGGGACACUCGGUUUGGGAGCAAGAUGUGUGGAGACAAGAGAGGAGUGUUGUGGAGGCAAUGAGGAGGGUGAGUUGGUUUAGGUUUGAAGGCAUGAUAUGUAAAUGUGUGUAAGAAAGGAGUGCAAGUGAAGUUGUAGUGAGAUGAUAUUAAUAGAGAGAAGUUGAAAAAGAAAUUUAGUACAAAUAGUUUUGGAUUUUGUAAAACUGGUUUUAUUAUUUUUUAGGUAAACUGAGGCCAAAAACGAAAUGGAUGAAUGUUAGAUCUCCACUCCAAUGUUAUAAUAUUAUUAUAGCAUAUAUUAACUACGGUUUUUCUGUGUGUGCCCAUGAGCAAAUGCUAAGCGCGGGAUUUUACAAGUUUAGAAGAUUUUGAUUGGCUCUCAUAUAUUAAUAAUGAUGGACCCCCUGCAAAUACAACAACCACGCGAAUUAAAACCUCUCAAUCAUAAUAAAUUCUGCGCUUAGCAUUUGCCCAUGGGUACACACUACACAAACCCUAUUAACUACAAUGUAACACUAUAUAAGUAUAAAACUUAUAUACAAUGGAUAUUGUGAUACUAAAUUUGAUAUCAAAAAUAUAUUUGGUGUAAUUUUUAGGUCAAAUUUAAUAUUUUUCAUAAUUUCAAUAAUAUUCUUAUUUUUACUAACAAAAGAUAUUUGCCCCCUUCGUUUUAUAGAAAGAUUGUUAUUAGUGUGCAUUACAAUGUCGAUAAAUAUAUUUUGUAAAUAAUAUGAUUUUAAUAUUAAAAUAAUAUAAAAUUAUCACUUUUUACUAUAAUGAAUUGGAGACCGUGUUAGCGGGAAGUGACCACUAAGAAAACAUAAUCUUGUAUGAUGGGGCAUGCUCUACGAAAGAUGAUUAAACAAAUGAGAGAGUAAAAUUUCGUAUGUUUCGGUCAACGGUAUUCAAAAACGAUUGUAGCAGCUAGAAGCCUAGAAUAGGGUGACUAGCAGCUUUAAUUAGAAGAUACGACUAAAACUUUUACUAGUAGUUUCUUUCAAAUUCAAAUUAUAUGAAGAUAUUCCCCGACUACCAUGCACUUUUAACUCAAAAAUAAUUCUAAAUUUUGUAAAAAGAAAAUGCUACAUGCACAGAAUUGGGUACAGAAAUAUUCACAGAAUGAGUAUGUGUCAACUUGUGAUUGGAAUGGGCCCCGUGCACAUGCAUUAAUAGCUCCAAUUAAAACUCCCCACCUAGAUUGCCAUGUCAUUUUGUGUAAAAUUAUGUACCCAAUUUUAUGCAUGUAGCACUACUCUAAAAGGAAAAACAGUGACAACAGUCUAAUUACAAAUAUACAUUUAUUUCAAUCGAUUCUUCAUUUAUAAUGCAUCAUUUCUAUCCCGUGAGAACACUGAUGAAUAUCAGGAAAAAAAUAUUGGGAGCGUUUGGAUUGAGGUUGGGAAUGAAAAACAGUGACAACAGUCUAAUUACAAAUAUACAUUUAUUUCAAUCGAUUCUUCAUUUAUAAUGCAUCAUUUCUAUCCCGUGAGAACACUGAUGAAUAUCAGGAAAAAAAUAUAGGGAGCGUUUGGAUUGAGGUUGGGAAUGAGAAUCGGAAAUGGGAAUGGGGUAUAUGAAUGGGGGUUAAUGGGAAUGGGAAUGGUAUGGUAACCCAUGGGGUGGGAAGGGUAUGAUUUAACCACCUAAAAGGAUUGGGGUUCUCAUUCCAUGGCACCAAAUAACUAAUCCAAACACUUUUUAUGGGAUUAAAGUUCCGAUUCCUGUUAACCGAGCUCAUUAACCAUGAACCAAACACCCCCAUAUUCUCCGUUGCAUAUAUACUGUUAACUAUGAUGGAGAAGCCUUUGAAGUUGGUUAAAGUGUUGGUAGUUCAUUACUAGUGAAGCAACAACUGUUGUUAUGGUGAAACAAAUAGCACUGCUUCUUCUUCUUGUUUUCUUUUUUUUCCUUUUUUAAAACAAUUUACAGUGCUGAUUUGAAUUAUGAACCAAUGUUUGGUGGACCAAAAAAUUAUCUACGAUUAAUAACUUUUGGCUGUUUCAAAGCACAGUGCAACUGUACAAGCACGCAGAAUGUGGCAGCAUCAUCAAAAUUGAUCUCAUACUUGCUGCAACAAAGUUCAAUUUAUUAUCAAAUUGUCUCAUACAGUCUUCUACUAAACUCUUAACUAUAAUAUAAAAAAAAUACUGAUAGUUAUAUAAUAUAAUUUUAAAGAGUGUCAACUCCAACAAUACUCUCUAUAUCCUUUCAUUAUUAUAUAUUUUAUCCAUAUUUAAACCCACGAAGUCAAAUAUUCAAUAAUAUAGUUGAGUGAAUGCAUUUUUUAUUAUUAAAGACAAGUUAAGAGCCACUAUAUGGUACUAGAGGAGAAAGAAGAGACUCUUAAAAUUUUUAAGAAUCACUAAAAGCGGUUCGGAGUUCAAUUUUUUAUCAUCCUCCUUAUAUCUUGAAUUAGGAGUUUAUAUUGGAGUCUCCUUGGAGAUACUCUGAAGUCUAAUAGUUAGAGCAUCUCUAAUAGUCUCCUAGUAUGCUCCUAAAUAUAAUAUAAAAAAUAUGACUUUUAGUAAUGUAGUGUAAUUUUAAGAGUGACAACUCCAACAAUGUUCUCUAUAUCCUCUCACUAUUGUAUAUUUUAUUCAUAUCUAAACCCACUAUGUCAAAGAUUCAAAUUCAUGUAGUGGAGAGAAUGGAUUUUUUAUUAUUAAAAACAAGUUAAGAGCCACUACAUGGCUCUUAAGCUUUUUAAGAGUUAUUAAGAGUCUCUUGGAGCUCAAUUUUUGAUCUUGCUCUUUAUAUCUUGAGUUAGGAGCAUAUUUAAGAGCCUAUUGGAGAUGCUCUUAGAAGGUAUUAAGAGCAAUUCUAAAAUUUCAUUAAACGAGUUUCUAAACUACUGUGAUUCUAAGUGUAAGGAGGGAAUAAAAUCACUAGAACAUCUUUAUAUUUAUUAAAUUUAUUAAUCAUGUCAUAAUAUUAGAAAAUUUUAUACCAGGACACUGUGGUUGGAACACUUAUCCUAAACUUUCAGCUUUUAACCAUAAAAUUUUGAAAAAAUUAUUACUAACCAUUUCUUAACGGCUGAGAACUAAUAUUUAAAAUCUUAAAAUGUUAAAAAAGACUUCAAAUAGAUUUCAUGUUAUAUCUUAACACUUCUGUCAUUUGAAAUUUCAUUUUUCACGUUGGAAAGUGGACGUCAUCAUGUUGAGAAUUAGUCCUUUAAAAACUUAAAAUAUUAAAAAAAAUAUCUCACUUUCAAAAAAAUAAAUAAAAAUAUCUCAGAUAAAUCCUAUUCGAUCAUCUUUCUUUAUUUGUUUUGUCUUUCUACGUGCUAAUCUUCCUAGGACGGAUGCACAUACUAUGCAUACUCUGCACUGGACAAAGUCUGACAUAAAAUCAUAUUCCUCAGCUGUCAGCACCUUCCUCCUUUCUUCUCGUACAAUUCAAGAAAUACUUGUAAUCAGAGAAAAGUAUUCAUCGGGACGUGUGUGUUUAGCGUCUUGUGCGCGAAAUUUUGGUGAAUCUGUUGUAGUUUAGCAUGAAUUAAGGUUGGCGCGUUUAUUUUCAGGGCAUGCAUGUGACGGCUUCAUGUCACUCUAUACAAUAAUGUCGUCGAGUGACGUGUACCGCUAUAUACACUUUAUAUAUUUUUAUAUGGGUCCAGCUCAUAAGCAUACAUAUGCUAAGUACCUCUUAAAAAACACAUAGGUUCUUGACCGUUGGAUAAAUAUCCAGCGGCCAGGAUUAAAACAAAAUUUUAGUAUGUCCAGCGUUUUUUUUAGCGCUGGACGGGAGAAACUCUAUCCCGCGCUAAAAAAAUGUUGUACGGGUAGAAAAUGGGUUUUACCCGUCCGGAACUUGUAUGUUUUUAAACAGAUCCCUAGCAUACAUAUGUUAGGGAUAUGGACUCUUUUUAUAUGGGUCUUUUUGUAGUGUUAAUGAAAAUUAGAUAUUUUUAGAUAUUUUUAAUAUUUCUUUUAUUUAGAUGAAAAUUUUUAAUUGAUGAAAACUUUUAUAUAUACAAAAAUUAUUAUUAUUAUGAAUUUAAAGUAAACAUGAACAUAUAUUAGAAAAUCCCAACUUCUAUUACCUAAAUAUAUUAUCCUUCUUAAUUAUCGCAAAGUGACAGAACAAACGACAGGAAGUGGCACUACCUAAUUCCACGACUAUUUAUACAUGUAACUGAUAACUCCAAAUCUCGUCUAGGGUUCCAAUGCACUAUUCCGGGAAGCUUCAGGCAAGACCUAACCUGCAAAACAACGCUACACGGGGGGUGACAUCCCGUGAGGCGCCUCCGGCGUGAUAAUCAGUGAUUUGGAUGUGCUUGACAAGUAAGGGAAAUCAGAGAGUUUUCACUCUAAGUAUCUGGCGAGAGAUGCUUUUUAGAGAGAGUUUUGAGGGAGAAAUUUGCACUUACCUUCCACUUUGGCUGGGGAGUGCUUUAUAUAGGCCCUUUGCCGCCACUGUUGCUACAGUGGCGGGAAUGGGCCUGUAGGCACUCCCCAGCAUGGGUGGCUGUUUUGGUGCAGCUACUGUCCUUUUUUCUGUCCUUUUGGGAUUCGUGCAUGCUUAUUAUCCUGUUUGCCUUGUACUUGGUAAUGAUGAGGUCUGACUUUGGGGAUCUUCAGGUCCUGUAGCGGGGGCGGGUACUGUUGGCGGUUACUGUAGCGUGGUACCUUAUCAUUGCCCCCCUACUCCUUCCAUCUGCUUUAGCGGGUGGGGGGAGUAAGUAAAAUUUCCCGCGCAGGGUGCAUUUCCGGGUUGCAUUUGGGCGAGCGUGUCGUUGUGAGUGUCUGUGUUGAGGUGGCGGGUUUUUUGGCGUUGUUCGGCCGGGUUGUGUUUGCUGGGCCAUAGAUUUCGAAAUUUAAAAGGCGUGAAGCCUUUUGCCGCCUGGUCUUGUCGUUCCGUAUGGGGGAUGUACGGAUGUUCCACGUGGCGCAGUGUGAGUGGAUGAUGUCGUGACUGCAUGCACGGUUAAUUUGACUGAUGGCAUUUUGUGCGGAUAUUUGUGCCAAUUAACUACUGGCACAGAUACAUGUAUGAGGCUUUUGACUGGGGUGAUGGAUGUGUAUUUUGGCGCUUCAACAGCCCAGGGAAGUAACGGCUGAAGCUCAAAGGACUGGGUAGUGCUGUCUAUAUAAAGGGGGUUUUCGUUCGGUGAGAAGUGCUCAGCUCAUUGUUUAUCUUCGUAAAAGCUUGUUUCUGCAAAUUUGGUUAGUGCUUGAUUUGGGGCUUUUCCGGCGUAGUGAUCAUCUAUUUCUUGUUUUGUUGUUUGAUCGGAAGUUUUAACCGGUCGUCUCGUCUUGGUUUGUUUUGUGCAGGUGAUAUGUCUUCCGACAGCUCUGCAGCUAGUUCUAACUUGUAUUAUGGCCGGUCGAUCGAGUGGCGCCGGCGGCAGGAUCUGAUCAACCGGAUUCGCCGGUUGCCGGCCGAGCUUAUCACGGUGAGAAUUGCGGAGGCGCUGGAGGACGAGGAGCAGUCCUAUGAGUCUGCGCUGGAGAUUGUUUACCACGAGCUUUUGCUUCCGGGUCGUGCCCGGGACGCGGAGGAGGUGGACGGACGUUUGAUGGUGCCGAUUGACAACCCGCCGGUCCCUCCGGGUGUCACGGUGCGGGAGCGGUUGCGGGACGCGGAGGCGGAGAGAGAAGGCCUGCUUACCAGGCUGGAAGCUGUAGAUGAGCGGAUUGUGGAGCUGAGGGCUCAGCUUCCUUAGGUAGUUUCGAUGCGGGAUUAGCCCGUGUCAGAUUGUAUCUUUAUUUCUGCUUUAAUGUAAAAUCGUUGGUUUGAUGCGUAUAUCGCCUUGUGUUGUCCUUUGUUCUUCUUUUUUCCGUAUGUUGUUUCUGCGAUAGAGGUGUGAAGCAAACAAAACGCGCAGUAAAAAUUAUGACUAAAAUGAAAAUGGUGCUCCCCGAGUAUUGGACGCGGGCCAAUAAUUGGGGAAGUGAUAAACAUUUGAAGUAAAAUGAAAAUGUGCCCCCCAAGUAUUGGACGCGGCCAAUAAUGAGGGAAGUUGUAAAAAUUUUGAAUAAAAUGAAAAUGUGCCCCCCAAGUAUUGGACGCGGCCCAUAAUGAGGGAAGGAUGAAAAAAUUUUGAAUAAAAUGAAAAUGUGCCNCUUGGUUAGUGCUUGAUUUGGGGCUUUUCCGGCGUAGUGAUCAUCUAUCUCUUGUGUUGUUGUUUGAUCGGAACUUUUGACCGGUCGUUUUUCUUGGUGUGUCUUGUGCAGGUGAUAUGUCUUCCGACAGCUCUGCAGCUAGCUCUAGUUUGUAUUAUGGCCGGUCGAUCGAGUGGCGCCGGCGGCAGGAUCUGAUCAACCGGAUUCGCCGGUUGCCGGCCGAGCUUAUCACGGUGAGAAUCGCGGAGGCGUUGGAGGAUGAGGAGCAGUCCUAUGAGUCUGCUUUGGAGAUUGUUUACCACGAGCUUUUGCUGCCGGGUCGUGCCCGGGACGCGGAGGAGGUGGAUGGGCGGUUGAUGGUGCCGAUUGACAACCCGCCGGUCCCUCCUGGUGUCACGGUGCGGGAGCGGUUGCGGGACGCGGAGGUGGAGAGGGAAGGCCUGCUUACCAGGCUGGAAGCUGUAGAUGAGCGGAUUGCGGAGCUGAGGGCUCAGCUUCCUUAGGUAGUUUCGAUGCGGUAGUAGCCCGUGUCUGAUUGUAAUUUUAUUUCUGCCUUAAUGUGAAAGUGUUUAUUCGCUUAUCGCCUUGUGUUGCCUCUGUGUUUGAGUUUAGUUCCUGCGAUAAAGUUUUGAAGCAAACAGAACACGUAGUAAAAAUGAGGGUUGUGCCCCCCAAGUAUUGGGCGCGGCCAAUAAUGAGGGAAGAUUAAAAUUUGAAGUAAAAUGAAAAUGUGCCCCCCGAUAAAAAUUUGAGUAAAAAAUGAAAAUAUGCCCCCCAAGUAUUGGACGCGGCCAAUAAUGAGGGAAGAUAAAAAUUUGAGUAAAAAAUGAAAAUAUGCCCCCCAAGUAUUGGACGCGGCCAAUAAUGAGGGAAGAUAAAAAUUUGAGUAAAAAAUGAAAAUAUGCCCCCCAAGUAUUGGACGCGGCCAAUAAUGAGGGAAAGAUGAAAAAAAAUUUGAAGUAAAAUGAAAAUGUGCCCCCCAAGUAUUGGACGCGGCCAAUAAUGAGGGAAGUUGAAAAAAUUUGAAGUAAAAUGAAAAUGUGCCCCCCAAGUAUUGGACGCGGCCAAUAAUGAGGGAAGUUAAAAAUUUGAAGAAAAUGAAAAUGUGCCCCCCAAGUAUUGGACGCGGCCAAUAAUGAGGGAAGAUCUGGCGGGAAGAUUAGGGAGCGGUAGCGGUACGGUCGCGGGUGUUGAAGUUGUGUGGACUUGUAGCCUGUGGGUGUCCGUGUGCAUUAAAUGCACUGCACAGACAUUCACUGAGGAGACUGUUGACCGCUGGUUUUCCAGGUGCGUUUGAGUUAUAUUUGACCUAGGAAACGCCUGUGGGAAGUGUGAACGCUUUGGGAACUCCAUUUGCUUUUAUUGCGGGGCUAUGGCUGUGGCUAUAUAAAGGCUAGGGAAGUUCAUUUGUGCACUUCAUCUGUGCGUUUAUCUUUUUUCUUCCUUUCUAAUCGUCAAAUCGUGCUUUUUCCUGUGAAAGUAUUGUAAAAAAUGUCUGAUAAUUCCUCGGCGUCUGUGAGCAACGGGAGUGAUGUGUCUAGUGGUAGCUAUAGGACGCAGAUGCGUUGGAUGAGGAGGGUUGAACUCCUUACUUUGUUCAAUGAUUUGCCGACCGAUCCAUUUGCUAGGAGGUUGGCUGAUAUGCUGGAAGAUGGCCUUCCCUAUGAUGAUCUCCUUGAGGAGGUGUAUGAGAGGAUGUUGGUCCCGGGACGCGGGCGAGCGGCGGUGCAGAUCAAUGGGCGGUGGUAUGUGCCCAUUGAUCGGCCGGAACCCGCGCCGGAGGCUACGGUGGCGGAGAGGUUGACUGCGGCCCGGGAAGAGAGGGACGAGCUGCAGGAGCGAUUAGAGGAUGUCCAGGCCCGCAUUGCGGACUUGGAGGCUCAGCUGUAGAAUAGGGCUUCCGUGUCGCGGACUGAGUCCGCUUUGGUUUGUAUUGAAAAAGAAUUCUGAUAUAUAUAUGUGAAGUGUUUUGCUUUCCCGCUGGCUUUUGGCUUGCUUGUAUUUAUGUUUUUUGUCUUCGACCAAUUCAUUACUUGUAAUAAAUUGGGUAAUAAAUGGGGAAUAAAAUUGAAUGCGGAGAAUGUUGUGGGUAAGAUUUGAUAAGUAGGGUGACAUAUAUGUAUUUGUUGAUAGGGNCUUGUCUGAAGUUUUAGUUUUCUCGAAGUGCUCCGCUUUUUCCAUCUGUAAGUUGCGAGAGGUCGUCCGGAGUAAAGUGCAACCGCUCUCUUUAUCAUUUCCGUUUAACAAGUAAGCAUCGCCGGCGAUCCUUUAAGUUUGUGCUUGUCUUCUCUCUUGAUGUUGCUGCUUAGUCAUAUUUUGCUGAUGUUUUUAGACUUUGCUUUGUUCAUCGUGUUUGUUGCCGUUCUUACUGUAUUUCGCGUAUUUGGUUGCUCGCCGGCGUAUAUAAGUCUCGUAAUCGUGUUGUUGCGCCGUAGUGUGGGUAGAUCGGUGUUUUAGGGCUUGCUUUUUCAGUAUUUUGAAGUGUCUGAAUGUCUGUGUUUUCGUCUUUGAUUUGUGGUGGUAGUAGUGGAGCUGUCGUCGCCGUGACUGCCGUCUGCACGGUGGCGUUGCGGUUUGAUGGCGGUGUAGCGACCUCGGGAUUGUUGUCUCGGGUUGUGCACCAUUAGGGUUAGGUUGAAGUUUUAAGGUUUGGAAUAUGCGGCGGUUGNNNNNNNNNNNNNNNNNNNNNNNNNNNNNNNNNNNNNNNNNNNNNNNNNNNNNNNNNNNNNNNNNNNNNNNNNNNNNNNNNNNNNNNNNNNNNNNNNNNNNNNNNNNNNNNNNNNNNNNNNNNNNNNNNNNNNNNNNNNNNNNNNNNNNNNNNNNNNNNNNNNNNNNNNNNNNNNNNNNNNNNNNNNNNNNNNNNNNNNNNNNNNNNNNNNNNNNNNNNNNNNNNNNNNNNNNNNNNNNNNNNNNNNNNNNNNNNNNNNNNNNNNNNNNNNNNNNNNNNNNNNNNNNNNNNNNNNNNNNNNNNNNNNNNNNNNNNNNNNNNNNNNNNNNNNNNNNNNNNNNNNNNNNNNNNNNNNNNNNNNNNNNNNNNNNNNNNNNNNNNNNNNNNNNNNNNNNNNNNNNNNNNNNNNNNNNNNNNNNNNNNNNNNNNNNNNNNNNNNNNNNNNNNNNNNNNNNNNNNNNNNNNNNNNNNNNNNNNNNNNNNNNNNNNNNNNNNNNNNNNNNNNNNNNNNNNNNNNNNNNNNNNNNNNNNNNNNNNNNNNNNNNNNNNNNNNNNNNNNNNNNNNNNNNNNNNNNNNNNNNNNNNNNNNNNNNNNNNNNNNNNNNNNNNNNNNNNNNNNNNNNNNNNNNNNNNNNNNNNNNNNNNNNNNNNNNNNNNNNNNNNNNNNNNNNNNNNNNGACAACAGAGGGACAGACCCCCGAGGUUUCCAGACGGAGGAAACGGGUCCGUAGUGCUGGUAUGGUCGGAAAGUUGACCCUGAGUGCCCAGAUUGGGCGCCGCGUGAAGCGCCGCGGCAAUGUGGAUUUGAUGGCGGGUGUCAGUGCUGGGGAUGCGUCUGGGACCGAAGAUGAGGUGAGACCUGUGGAUGCCCGCCGUGUGGGGCGAGGUAAUUUGUUUGGAGCCGGGCCACCAGGGCAGGUUGGCCUCACUGAGGAUGAUGUUGAAAAGAUGGAUGGGUUGGGAUGGAAGAAGCUGGUGCGUCGUUCCGAGCUUCAUCACAGGAAGGUAUGUGCUUGUGCAUUUGCUUUUGUACUUAGCGUUCAAUUCCGUGUAUGUGGGUUGUGAUAUGUUUUCUGAUGGUUGUCGCAGGCUCGAGGGUAUGAUUUGGCGUUAAGCACCCGGGGAGAAAUGUUCCGCCAGGACAAUAUUGCACUGCGGAAGCAGGUCGCUGAUCUUGAAGGUCAAAAGAAGACCUUGGUGGAGAACUUCCAUGCAGUCGAGGAUCAAAAGAAAGAACUUGCCCAAGAGAUGGAGACUCUUAAGGCUGACUGGCAGGUGCUUUCGGAUCGAAGGGACCUCGUGGACAAGGAGUUGGAAACCCAAAGGCUGUUUUGGGAGGGGAAGGAGGCAGCCUCGGAGCGGACUUUCACCGAACUCCGUAAACGUGCCGAAGAAGCUGAAGCUAUGGUUGCGUCGCGACCCACUGAGGAGAUGGCCAUCCGGAAAUAUCAGGCCAGUGUUGAGUAUCGGGCUGCCUUGGCCAAAGCUUUUGAGGAGGGAGUCUCUUCUGUGAAAGAAAGUGCGGAGUACUUGAGCUUAGUGGCGGGCGCGGGUGGUUCUUCUUCCGGUGUUAUAUUGCACUGCGGAAGCAGGUCGCUGAUCUUGAAGGUCAAAAGAAGACCUUGGUGGAGAACUUCCAUGCAGUCGAGGAUCAAAAGAAAGAACUUGCCCAAGAGAUGGAGACUCUUAAAGCUGACUGGCAGGUGCUUUCGGAUCGAAGGGGCCUUGUGGAUAAGGAGUUGGAGACUCAAAGGCUGUUUUGGGAGGGGAAGGAGGCGGCCUCGGAGCGGACUUUCACCGAGCUGCGUAAGCGUGCCGAAGAAGCUGAAGCUAUGGUUGCGUCGCGACCCACUGAGGAGAUGGCCAUCCGGAAAUAUCAGGCUAGUGUUGAAUAUCGGGCUGCCUUGGCCAAAGCUUUUGAGGAGGGAGUCUCUUCUGUGAAAGAAAGUGCAGAGUAUUUGAGCUUAGUGGCGGGCGCGGGUGGUUCUUCUUCCGGUGUUGACGCUUUGGAGAAGCGGGUAGCGGAUCUUUCCUCUUCCUUGAAGAAAGCAAAGUCUAAGGCACACAAGAGGAAGAAGAAGAAUAAGAAGCUUGCUGACCGGGUGAAGGAGCUUGAGAGUGCGGGUGGCAGCUCUGGAGGUAGUGCUGGGACAAAGAGUCCAAAAGCUCUGGAAACCGUGGAUGAGAAUCCCGUGGCGGAGGAAGCAGAAGUUUCCCGCUCCGCAGCUGAGGAAAGGGAGAACCCGGACACGGUCAUGGCUGAUGCGGAGAAGCAACCCGGGACCGAGGCUGCUACCCCAGAGGAGGAUGAAGAGCUUGUUGAUGAUUCGACCGAGACCCCCACCAUUUAACUCCUUUGUCUCUAAACUGUUGCUUUUUGAGUUAUGUUUGAACUUGGCUGGUUAGACUAUUUGAACUCAUUCUUUUGGGAUUUGUAAUUUGCCGUACAAUGGCGGGUGACUUGUGUGUGGAUUUGGGCUGUGCGUAUAAUAUGCUUUUAUUUGCUUUUUUAGUUGCGUGUAUGUGCUUGUGCUUUGUGUUGCUUGCUCGAGUUUACAGGUGGGAGCUUUGCCGUUGUCAGGGCAUGGUUGUGGAUACGCGGCCAUGCUUUGCUACAUUUUGUUGUUGCGUGUGAAUUUGGUCUAGGGGAGGGAUGGCGUUAGUCGUCCUUCCCCCUAGGUUAUAUGCUUGUUUUGUGACAGGUGGCUGCCAGGCACGUGCGCGGGAGUACUAUAAAUAGCCUGUCUCCCAAACGAAGGUAUUAUGCUCCUCCACUCCUUUGUUGUUUUAUCCUUGUGUUUUUGCAAAAAAUUGUGUUAAUCAUGUCUAAUCUUGUAGGCUCUCGCUGUUACUGUGAUCGUCCCGUUGUGGUGAAGACUAUCUGGGGUGGCCGGAAUGCUGGGCGGCGCAUGGAAGCUUGUGUUGCGGGUGAUUGUUACUAUGAAGUGUGGAUUGACGAGCCGCUUAGCGCUCGUGCUCGGGGUGCCCUUGAGGAGUUGAUGCAGAAGAACAAAGACCUGCAUGAGUCUUAUCACAAGAAGAUGGAGCGCGUUCGGGCCCGCCAGGUGAAGCGUCGUGGUGCGAUCUGGGCGCAGUUGCAGCUCAUUCACAAUGAGCUUUCCGCGAGUGACUCGAGCGAGGAGGAUGAGGCUUUUUAGAAGGCGCUAUCGCCGCGCUAGUUGUUGUAUUUCCUAAGUACCCCCGUUAUAUGUUUCGGGGGUCCAUUGUUGUUUGUAUUUCCCGUGUGCGUGCGUUUGUAAUAUGCUUGGUACCCGUGACCGUGGCUUGACCCGGGUAGCGUUGUUCCCGCGGCGGCCUUUAGCCGAUCCUUGUAAGCUAUGGAUUAUAUAUUAUAAGCUGUUCUUGUAUCUUGUGCGUAAAUGUGCUUUUAUGUGCUUUUCGUUGAGAUGUGCUUUAUAUAUUGUGCUUUUUAUGUGCUUCUUGUUGGAUGAAUCAUCAGGACGCAAAUUAACGGAAAACAUCGUUAAUAAUAUAUAUAAGUCCAAAAGGAUGCCCGUUUACAUGCUAUGAAUCAUUAGGCCAGGUCUGCUACUGAUAAUAUUUCUUGAGCUUUGCUGCGUGCCAAGUAUUGUUGACCUCCGUGCCAUCCAAGUGGGAUAGCUUGUAAGAGCCGGGACGGAUGACUUGUGCUAUUUUAUAUGGACCUUCCCACUUGGGCAUUAGCUUGCCCGUGUGGCGCGGGUCUGAUGCCUCGGUUGCUCUGUUGACUAAGUCUCCCACCUGGAAUGCCCGCAUUCGGACCCGCUUUCCGAAGAAGUCCCUUGUCUUUUCUUUGUAGAGCUCCAUUUUUUGGACUGCGGCCGCCCGGACCUCGUCCAGUAGCUCCAAGUUAGUCCGCAUUCCCUCAAUGCUGUCGUUGAUGUUGAAGUUUUGCAUGCGGAAGGACGGUGAUCCUAUUUCCACUGGUGCUAGUGCCUCUGCCCCGAAUGCUAGUUUAAACGGUGUUUCCCCUGUGCUUGUUUUUUGUGUGGUGCGGUAGGACCAUAGGACUUGUGGUAGGUGUUCGGGCCAUUUUUUCUUGGAUUCUGUGAGGCUUUUUUCUAGCCCGCGAAGGAUGAUGCGAUUUGUGACUUCGACUUGCCCGUUGCUUUGCGGGUGGCAUACCGAUGCUUUCUUGUGCUUGAUCCCGUGAUCAGAGAGGAAGGUGAUGAACUUCUUUCCUACGAACUGUGUCCCGUUGUCGGCGAUGAGAGUUGUGGGGAUACCGAACCGGGUAAUUAUCUGGUUGCGGACAAACCGGAUUGCGUCUUCUUGGGUGAUGGUCUUGAGUGCUUUGGCUUCUGCCCAUUUGGUCAUAUAGUCGAUAGCCACCAUGACAAAUUGGAGUUCCCCGCGGGCUUUGGGGAAUGGUCCCAUAAUAUCGAUUCCCCACACCGCGAACGGGAUAGGGGAGAGUAUUGACACCGGGAUUGCGGGGGCUGCGCGUGGGACGUUGCUGAAAAGUUGGCAUUGGUGGCAUGCUCUGACAAAGGCUUUGCAGUCCUUUGCCAUGGUGGGCCAAUAGUACCCUUGGCGCAGGAUUUUAUGUGUAAGGGCCUUGCCCGCCAUGUGAUCCCCGCAUAUGCCCUCGUGAACUUCCCGCAUGCAGUAUGUUGCCUCAUCGUCGUCGACGCAUUUGAGAAUGGGGGAGUCGAAGUUUCGACGGUAAAGAACAUCGCCCUGUAGGAAGAAUUUGGCCGCGUGUGCCUUGACCUGCCGGGCUUUGCUGUGCUCUGUCGGCAGAGUUCCGUUUCGGAGGUAAGCGAUGAGGGGGGUCAUCCAAUUGUCUUCGUUAAGCGUAACGCUGAGCUGUUCCUUGGACUCUGUUGAGGGAUGAGGGAGAGAUAGGAAGUAGACGGGACCAUCCGAGGUCGUGUAUUCUCCCUCUAGGAGUUUGGAGAGGCUGUCCGCCAGUGAGUUGUCUUCCCGGUCUAUUUGGUGGAGCUGGUAGCUUUUGAGUGUGGACAAGCGGGUCUGCACUAAUUGCUGGUAUUGAGCCAGAGUCGAAUCUUUUACCGCAUAGUCACCCGUUGUUUGGCGAACUACCAGUUGGGAGUCGCUGUAUAUGGUAAGAUUUUGCAGUUGCAGAGUGAUGGCGAGGUCUAAACCUGAAAGCAGGGCCUCAUACUCCGCCUGGUUGUUGGUGGCUUUGAAGUUGAGCUGAAGGGCUUGUUUUAUACAAAACCCAUCCGGGCUAAUGAGUAUGGCUCCGGCUCCGCAUCUGGUGUUGGUGGCGGAGCCGUCUACGUAAAGUUUCCACCCUUCCGCGACCGGGAGGGGUUUUUGGUUGUCCGGUGCUUCUUCGUCCGGUUUAGCAAAGUUACACUCCACGACGAAGUCUGCCAGGGCCUGUGCUUUGAUCGCGGUUCUCGGGACAUAAGUGAGGUGGAAUUGGCUGAGCUCGAUUGCCCAGUUAAUAAGUCGUCCUGACAGCUCAGGCUUGUGGAGAAUUUUGCGCAAGGGUUGGUUCGUGACGACCCGUAUUUCUCGCCCUUGGAAAUAGUGACGAAGCUUCCUGCUUGCCAUGACAAGGGCUAGGGCUGUUUUCUCUGUAUUGGGGUAGCGAGUUUCUGCGUCUUUGAGCGUUUGGCUGACAUAGUAAACCGGUCUUUGCACCGUGUCUGCUUCCUUAAUAAGCACUGCACCCACCGUUUUGUCGGAAACUGCCAGGUAUAGUGACAAUGGUUCGCUAGGGGACGCGGUCGUCAGGAGUGGCGCGGAUGCCAGGUAUGUUUUGAGGUCCUCAAAGGCCUUUUGGCACUCCUCUGUCCAUGUGAGUUUUUUGGUUUUGAGUGCUCCUUUGAGGGUGUCGAAGAAGGGGAGGCACCGUUCCGCAAGCUUGGAUAUGAACCGUCGCAAUGCUGCGAGGCGCCCUGUGAGGCGUUGAACGUCCUUGAUGGUUUUUGGGGGCUGCAUGUCAAUGACGGCCUGGAUUUUUUCCGGGUUGGCCUCGAUCCCGCGUUGGCUUACCAGGAAACCCAAGAAUUUUCCCGCUCCCAGGGCGAAAGUGCAUUUGUCGGGGUUAAGUUUCAUGUUGUGUUUUCUGAGGUUUGCGAAGCACUCCCGCAAAUCGGUCAGGUGCGUCUCUUGGAGCAUAGAUUUGACAAUCAUGUCAUCGACAUAGACUUCCAUGUUGCGUCCCAGUUGCGGUGCGAAGAUCUUAUUCAUCAUGCGUUGGUAGGUGGCGCCCGCGUUGAUGAGGCCGAAAGGCAUGACCUUGUAGCAGUAUACUCCUCUAUGAGUGAUGAAAGCAGUUUUCUCGCAGUCUUCCGGUGCCAUCUUAAUCUGGUUGUAUCCUGAGAAGGCGUCCAUGAAACUGAGCAUGAGGUGCCCGGCUGUUGCGUCAAUGAGUUGGUCUAUGCUUGGUAAUGGGUACGGGUCCUUAGGGCAUGCUGUGUUAAGGUCUGUGUAGUCGACGCACAUGCGCCACUUCCCGUUAGCUUUCUUCACUAGCACAACGUUUGCCACCCAAUCCGGGUAUGAGACCUCGCAGAUCAAAUCUGCGUCCAACAGUUUAUCUAUUUCCGCAUCGAUUGCUUUUUGGCGGUCAGGCGCGAAGUUGCGCCGCUUCUGCUUUUUUGGCGUCUUCUUGGGGUCGACACUCAGUUUGUGCAUGGCCACGGAUUCAUCAAGGCCGGGCAUGUCUUUUGGGCUCCAUGCAAAAACGUCUGCGUACUCGCGCAGCAGAUCUGUGAGUUCUUUCUUGAAUACUGAUUCCAACCCGGCCCCAAUGCUGAUUUUCCGCGUGGGGUCGGUGGGAGAGAGCUGAAUUUGCUCUGUUGCCACAGCGGGUUUUGCCACGGGCUGCUCAUCCCGUAACAAGCAUUUUUUGAGCUCGGCGUCCAUGCGCGGAGGUUCCUCGUGCGCGGGAUCGUGGGUUUCUAUGACUUGCACCUCUCGGUGCCGUUUGUUCUUCCUUUGGAGGUUUUCAGCGCGUUUCUUUCGCUUCUCCUGCUUUCGUUUGUCGGCGUUUUCCCGCUUGAUGUUUCCGGGCUCGGUGGCCGCCAGGACUAAGGCUAUCCCAUAGCAUCGCUUCGAGGUUUCAGAAUCCCCCUUGACUUCGCCUAUUCCCGUGGGAGUUGGGAACUUCAUUUUGAGGUGUGAGGUCGAAGGGAUUGCUCUGAGUGCAUUCAGGGUUGGCCUUCCUAGGAUCAUGUUGUAUGAGGAGACUGCGUUGAUGAUGUAGAAUUUGAUUGUCUUGGUGAUUUGGUGGGGGGGUGACCCGAAGGUGACUGGCAGGUGAGCAACUCCCGCUAUGGGCACGGCGUUGUGUCCGAAACCGUAUAAAGGUGUCUCUUCCAGGCAAGGCUCGGGAACCGCGUUGUUCAGGCGCAGUCGAUCCCAGGUGUGCUGGAAGCAGAUGUCCGCAGAGGAGCCGUUAUCCACCAAUAUUCUUUUUACCUCAUUUUCUGCUAUGACCAGGGAUACGACUAGGGCUUCGUUGUGAUCCGGGUUGAUGCCCUCGUAAUCUGCAUGUGUGAAGUAUAUGGGGCUGUGCACCUCUCCCUGGGCGAUUGCAUAUACUGAAGGCCCGCUGGGGACAGGGGGCGUGACGGUGCCGCCGAAGACGGGAUUGACCACAUUUCUACCGUCUCGGUGGUCUUGUGGCGGUGGUGGUGGCAGAUCGCGAGGGAGGUACUGGUUUAGGUUUCCCGCUUUUGCUUGUCGUUCCAGGAAGUGUUUGAGUGCGAGGCAGCUAUCCGUGGAGUGCCCGUGUGUUUCGUGAUAUUCGCAGUGGCGCUCUUUGUUCCGGUCCUCCGGGUUUGUCCACAUGGCUGGCGGUGCUUGGUAAAAGGGCUUGUUUUUAAUGUCCCUUAACAGGGCCGACCGGGUUAGGCUGAACUUAGUCCAGUUAGGCUCAGGGCGCUUUUCGGGGCGGGAACCCACCGCGGGCCCCAGACGAUCCUUUACAGAUAUGUUGUUGUUCUUGUUGGCAGGAGGUCCGUGCGUAGUUUGAACUUGCAUUUGCUCCACGGGUUUUUGGUACGGGGCGUGUCGCUCACGUGGGUAAUGUUUCUGAUUGCUGGCGGGAGGGGCCCGUGCCCGUUUCAACACGGCCAAAGAUUCCGCUUCCGUGACGGCUUGGGAUGCCAGGUCAUAUGCCUUGGCCAAUGUCGUGGGUUGUACUUCCAUCAGCUUGACAACGUAUUUUUCGCAUUCAUACGGGUCAAGUCCCCUCUUUAGAUGGACGAGAGCCUCUAUCUCGUUUACACAGAUGAUCUUAUUGACCGCUUCCUUGAAGCGGUUGAUGUAGCUCUGCAGGGAUUCCCCUUCUCUUUGCCCGAUGGUUUGUAAGUAGGAAGUAUGCACCUCCUGAGGUUGGUUCGCCCUGAAUUUGUUCAGGAAUGCCCUUUUAAAGUCGGCCCAAGUGUCUAUGCUCCUGGCCGGGACGCGACUGAACCACCGCUGCGCGCUUCCCCUGAGGGUGGCGGCAAAGAAACGGCAUUUGGUGAGGUCGCGGUACUCGUAGUGUAGGGCCAGUUGGUUAAAAUAGCUGAGGUGCUCCUCGGGGUCUCCCAUCCCGUCAAAGGGGUUCAGGUUGAGAUGCUUGAUGUGCCUUUGCUUUGGUUCAUCCUCGAGUCUCUUUGUAAAAGGGGAUUCUCCGACUUCGCCAUUGGUGCCAUCUUCGAGGCGCUUCUUCAGGGCCAUGAGCGUAUUGAGCAUGUCCGCGUUAGAGGGGUUGACGCUUCCUGUGUCGUUGCGGACCUCAGGGGUUUCGGUGCGACGGCCCUCGAGACGGGCGCGGGCCUUUUCGUACUCUGCCUGCUUGGCUUCAAGCUCUUUUUUCAGAUCCCGGAUCCUCCUAUUUUCUUUCCAGGUUGAGGGGCGGUGUUGUUGUCCACCGUGGUUUUUGUGGUUCGUGUUUUGUGACGGUCCAAGGUGUGAUGCUGUGGACUUCUGUGGGUGAGGCUGGCUAUGAGCUUCACUUCGCUCCUCCUCGUCUUGGGGUUCAUGGUUGCCGCGCGCUUCCCCUCUAGGUUGUGGGAAGGCAGAUGCUACCUUCAGCAUUAUGUCGAUCUGUUGCUGCGUGAACUUUGUCAGAUCGAUGGGCCCCCCUUGAGUGAGUGGGGGAGGUACUGCGUUGGUGUUUGGUCCCGCGUUGGGGACGGAGUUCCCGGAUGGGGAUAGGUCUUGCAGGAGUACGUCGUCGUCGACUACUCGGACGUUAGGGUUGGCAGGGUCGGGGUUUAGCAGGCUCGCGUUUUGCAUGUUUGGGCGAGGGUUUGCCAUGUUGCUGGUCUGACUUACUAUAAGUCCGGAUCGAGUUUGCAUAAAUUUGCCCGACUUCUAGGGAUGCGAUCAGGUUUCUCUUAGGGAGAAGGCCCCUUCCUGGCGCGCCAAAUGAUAACUCCAAAUCUCGUCUAGGGUUCCAAUGCACUAUUCCGGGGAGCUUCAGGCAAGACCUAACCUGCAAAACAACGCUACACGGGGGGUGACAUCCCGUGAGGCGCCUCCGGCGUGAUAAUCAGUGAUUUGGAUGUGCUUGACAAGUAAGGGAAAUCAGAGAGUUUUCACUCUAAGUAUUCCUCUCUUCAAAUGGACGAGAGCCUCUAUCUCGUUUACACAGAUGAUCUUAUUGACCGCUUCCUUGAAGCGGUUGAUGUAGCUCUGCAGGGAUUCCCCUUCUCUUUGCCCGAUGGUUUGUAAGUAGGAAGUGUGCACCUCCUGAGGUUGGUUUGCUCUGAAUUUAUUCAGGAAUGCCCUUUUAAAGUCGGCCCAAGUGUCUAUGCUCCUGGCCGGAACGCGACUGAACCACCGCUGCGCGCUUCCCCUGAGGGUGGCGGCGAAGAAACGGCAUUUAGUGAGGUCGCGGUACUCGUAGUGCAGGGCCAGUUGGUUGAAGUAGCUGAGGUGUUCCUCGGGAUCUCCCAUCCCGUCAAAGGGGUUCAGGUUGAGGUGCUUGAUGUGCCUUUGCUUUGGUUCGUCUUCGAGCCUCUUUGUAAAAGGGGAUUCUCCGGCUUCACCACUGGUGCCAUCCUCGAGGCGCUUCUUCAGGGCCAUGAGCGUAUUGAGCAUGUCCGCGUUGGAGGGAUUGACGCUUCCUGUGUCGUUGCGGACCUCAGGGGUCUCGGUACGACGGCCUUCGAGACGGGCGCGGGCCUUUUCGUACUCUGCUUGCUUGGCCUCGAGCUCUUUUUUCAGAUCCCGGAUUCUCCUAUUUUCCUUCCAGGUUGAGGGGCGGUGUUGUUGGCCACCGUGGUUUUUGUGGUUCGUGUUUUGUGACGGUCCAAGGUGUGAUGCUGUGGACUUCUGUGGGUGAGGCUGGCUAUGAGCUUCACUUCGCUCCUCCUCGUCUUGGGGUUCAUGGUUGCCGCGCGCUUCCCCUCUAGGUUGUGGGAAGGCAGAUGCUACCUUCAGCAUUAUGUCGAUCUGUUGCUGUGUGAACUUUGUCAGAUCGAUGGGUCCCCCCUGGGUGAGCGGGGGAGGUACUGCGUUGGCGUUUGGUCCCGCGUUGGGGACCGAGUUCCCGGAGGGGGAUAAGUCUUGCAGGAGUACGUCGUCUUCGACUACUCGGACGUUAGGGUUGGCAGGAUCGGGGUUUAGCAGGUUCGCGUUUUGCAUGUUUGGGCGAGGGUUUGCCAUGUUGCUGGUCUGACUUACUAUAAGUCCGGAUCGAGUUUGCAUAAAUUUGCCCGACUUCUAGGGAUGCGAUCAGGUUUCUCUUAGGGAGAAGUCCCCUUCCUGGCGCGCCAAAUGAUAACUCCAAAUCUCGUCUAGGGUUCCAAUGCACUAUUCCGGGAAGCUUCAGGCAAGACCUAACCUGCAAAACAACGCUACACGGGGGGUGACAUCCCGUGAGGCGCCUCCGGCGUGAUAAUCAGUGAUUUGGAUGUGCUUGACAAGUAAGGGAAAUCAGAGAGUUUUCACUCUAAGUAUCUGGCGAGAGAUGCUUUUUAGAGAGAGUUUUGAGGGAGAAAUUUGCACUUACCUUCCACUUUGGCUGGGGAGUCCUUUAUAUAGGCCCUUGGCCGCCACUGUUGCUACAGUGGCGGGAAUGGGUCUGUAGGCACUCCCCAGCAUGGGUGGCUGUUUUGGUGCAGCUACUGUCCUUUUUUCUGUCCUUUUGGGAUUCGUGCAUGCUUAUUAUCCUGUUUGCCUUGUACUUGGUAAUGAUGAGGUCUGACUUUGGGGAUCUUCAGGUCCUGUAGCGGGGGCGGGUACUGUUGGCGGUUACUGUAGCGUGGUACCUUAUCAGUAACUUACACUAAUUGUAAGCACUUAACCAUAACUAACCACAUUAAUCACCAACGCCAACUUAAUUAAUGAGACAGCAGACAGCAGUGCAGUGGAACCCAAGCUUGCUAGUUGAUAACACGUAGCUUUCAUUAGAAAAGAGUUUGUUAAAUAAUUACGUAAUUUCUUCCAACUUGCACAUAUAUGUGUACAUCAUAUGCGCCAUCGUUGUUCAGACAUGAGUUUCGUUCAUAAUAAUAAUAGGGCCCGACUAGUUUAUACAAGACAAUUUAAUCGAGAAUUAGGCGUAUUAUCGGAUUACAGAUUCUGUUUAACAAAAUUAACAUGCACAAGAAAUGAAUCAUAUAUCAUUUAUCCAAAUAUACAUCGUUUGAUUUAUUUAUACUUACUUCCAAGUCGUUAGAUCGUAUAGUUAUCUAUUUUUAUUUUUUUAAUAAAAAUAUAAUGAUAUUAUAAUUCAGAAAGAUAUUAUACUAUUAAAAAACAUAGAAAUAUAUGUAAAAAAAGUCAACGAAACAGGGAGAAUAUUAAACACAAUUAACACGUAUUAGAAAUGAUGGGUACAAUAACAGAAGAUAACAUGUUAAAAAUCAAUAAGAACAUGCGAUAAAACCUGCAUGAUCAUGUAAAUUUUCGAAAUUCUAUAUUAGAAAGUUGCAUGAUAUCUACUUGGUAGAUAUCACGGAAUUAGGAACAACUGAACAAAGAUAUAUGAAGAUCGAGAACUACAUGUUAUUGUGAUAAAUUUAAGUAGCACGAGUAUCUGUAUUAACUUGAAAACUGAAGCUGCAUGCACAAAAAUCUCCUCCAAACGUUGCAACACGGCCUCGAAUUUACAAAAAGGCCACCAAGCUCAACAAUCCACAUAUCAGUAAAACUGGUAGCCUCACCAGCAAACCCCGGCUAGCCCCCGAAAAAUACGGAUCAACUGGAUAUAAAUUCCCCGGCGGGCCUGUUAUGUAAAUAUACGACGGCGGAGGAGGGCAAUUGAACCCCGGCAAGCUCGGGGUUGGUGGUUUUUUAGGCGGUGGAGGUGGUGACGGUGGUGGUGGAGAUGGAGGACUUUGAGUGCACGGGACAUUACAAACCGGACACCCCCCGCACUUAAUUUCCCCGUUCGGAUCGCCUACUGGUACCGUGCUUUCGUCGAGCUUCCUGGGAUUGCUCGACGCGUUUGUUGAAGCUGCAAGAACAAUGAUCACAAGAAAAAUUGGUAGUAUAGAAGCCAUGUUAUGUAUUUGCCUGUGAUCACCUAUCUAUUUAACAAGGACAAGAUUUUCGGUAAUAUGAUGAUCUCGAAAAGAGAAGAAAUCCCGAAGAAUUGAGUGCGCGGUUAGGAUGGGCACGGAAAGUGUAGAGGGCCAGAGGUGAGUUGAUUAAGCUUAAACAUGUAGAGAAUGAAAGUGAUAUGAUGGUUAAGUUGUGUAUAUAUAUGACUAGUAGUAGAAAUUUAUUUGGUAAUGGUAUGCUUAAUAUACAAGGGUCACCGUUACAUGUGAAUGGUCCAUAAUUUAGGCCAACCACAUGGCCUCAUGAGACUUUGUAUCUAAUUUCGGUUGAGUUUGCUUUAUAAAAUUUCUUAUUAUCCUUGAUUACAUGCAUGCUUUUUGCUACAUAUAUGCCUUGUUUUAUGACCGUGACGGAACCAGAAUUCUGUAAUAAUCAAAGAAAUAAUCUAGUAGAUUGUAAAUUUGGAGGUUGAUUGGGUUGAAAAUAAAAUAUUUAUUAAAUUUUAACUAAAAAUAUUGAAUUUAAAGAUUUAGUCGGGAUUUUAGCGUAGACUGAUCCUAGUUGGGCACCGGGGGUGUUUAGGGCAAUCUUGACCCUCCAUUGAUGUUCAUGUAAUAGCAAGGUGGAGGCAUAGAUGAGGCUGCCUUAAAGUUGGGAUUUUGCUUAAAAUAAAAACAUUGUGAUGUAUCUAUAUGAUGUGAAGAAAUUAUUGGAGGAUGAUGAUAGAAAAAAGAUGAUGGGAUUGUUAGGGGAAUCAUAUACUCUUAGCCCAGCUUUGCUAAUAUGACAAAGGAAAUACAGCUGUUUCUAUGUAAUGGUAUAUUUCUCAACAGCCUGCUCCUUGAGCAAAAUCUCCAACUUUGAAACUUUUAUUGUAAAAAAAGUUGACUGAAUGAUAUUUACAAUUAGCUCUGGAUGGCUCCAGAACUCUCAUAAAUCUCUGUUUAUUUUCGUCGAAAGCUAAAGCCGUCUCUCGUAUUGGCUUUAUUGAGCUUAAAGAGUCGAGCAGGUCUUAGUCUGGUGAUGAAUACUGAAAUUUAAGAAUUGUCAAACACAUUUAAAAAAGCAAGGGAAGAAAAAGCUAGAUUCCAAGUUGGCAACAGUAGGUGAGGGAGGCUAGAAACGAAGGAGAGGAGGAAGGGAAAAGGGAACAAAGAAGAGGAACUAAAUACGGGAAUUUAAAUGAGUGAAUAAGAAGGAUGCGUUUGCUUGGCUAGAAAGGCUCAAUAGUAGCACCGUCCCAUUUGCUACUAAGUACCAUCCAACAACUUCAACGACCUACUCCUCUUUCCUCCUUUGAAAAAAAAAAAAACGAGUAAUCUGUUACAGAAAUUUACAUACUCACACAACAAAUUUCCGAAAAUGCGAAAUCAAUAAUUGAACUCUUUAUUUUCCUAACGGAAGUAGGGAACAAGUGUAUGUACUCCGAUACUUAUAUGUUGAGUGAGUAUCAACCGAAAUCUCACAUCAUAAAAAUUAAUAAGAUUUGUUUUUGAAGUCCAAAAAUUAAUCUGUACAGGCAGAUUCUCUGACAGACUAAUUAUUAGCUGUGAAGAAUCUCAGCACACUUCCUCUGUAAUUACAUGGAUGCUUAAGAUUGAUAAGUAAAAAACUAAAAGGGCUUGGAACUUAACUCUCAAGCCUGUCUCUCCUGCAGUGUUCCAAAAUUUUGUGUCCAUUUAACUAAUACUAUUGCUCUGAUUUGAUCUACUACUAUCUAUUCUGCUGCAGUUUUCCUUUGAAAUUUCUAUUUGCUCAAAAUCUACCACACUAAAGAAACCUAAUUUUCAGUUUCAAUCACCUUCCCCGCAGAAUGAAGUGAUGAGUUUUUUGGAAACUUAAAUUUUAUUUAAAAUUAUGGAUUUGGACAUAGGACAUGUUUCAAGAAUUGAGAUAUUUGGAUUUGACCAAAUUCAAAGUAAUUAAAGUUGAAGCCUAAAUUUGAUAAUUUGGAAUGAUAAUUCAAUUUAUAUAUUUCAAAAUCCAUCAUUCAAAAUUAUUUAUAUGUUCUUAAACAAAAUUGGCAUUAAUUUGAUGGAUUCGCGGCAUCCAGCUGGUCUGAGAGACCACCAUGCUACCUACUGUCGAAACUCACAGGAAAAAUACCAUACAGAAAGCAAACACUAAAUACUUGAUAAUCAGACCUGAUGGUAUAACUAAUAACGUAAUGGCAGGGGUUUAUCCCGUGUCGUCCCUGGUCAUGGAUUGGACUCUCACAUACCCGAGGUUUAGAAUAUAACUAAUUUGUAAGACAUACAAGCCUAAUCAUUCAGAAAAGGACUCGCUAAUUGUAAAUGGUAGAAUCUUGCGGGAUGAAGUUCAUCAAAGACUGCACAAACAAAAGUCUUACCUUGCAGGAUGAAGUCCAUCAAUCUAAAUUCCUCGUCUUUCGAGUUCACCUUCACCUCUUACAUAACUGAAGGAGAACAAAAACCUCUGAACUCUGAAAUCUACCACCAUAUAUAAACCCCCAAUAUUUACAAAGCUGGAUUUUAGUUUUGCGGAUCCAUCAAACAAAUAAACAACUCUGUGAAAUCUAACAAAAUUAAGAUGCCAAAUCAAAGAAAUGACAACAAUUAUCCAAAUCUACAAUUGUUCGUAUUUCAUCAAACUCCUGUGUUAUUUACAUGAACAGAGGAAACAAUAACAAUUGUUCCCUCCGAAAACGAGAAAGAAAAAAUAGUUAUGAUGCCGAAAUCAAUAACAAAAACAAAUAUUCCUCGUGCACAAGAUAAAAAAAGGUAUCUACGGACAUAUCACAAAAUGGCCACUGCCAUAAGUAUCUUCGCCUUCGUGCAUUAGCUUCACCCUGUUAUGACAAGGCGAAGGGUCCGAGGGGGGCACCGGCCCCCUCGGCAGCUCAUUCGGGAUUGCACUGUAGAAUCCCAUAGCUUUUACUUUCAUCGAUGCCCCUGUCGAUGCUGCUGCUGCAAAUAUCGUGAAUAUCAGCAAUGCAGCCCUCAGCUUUUUCGUAUCGAACAACAUCAUCAAAAAUAUUGCAAAUGUCGCCUCUGUUACGCGAUCCACAGUGUAAACUGUAAACUGAGCAGAAUGAAUGUGGUAAGAACACGAAGAGAGAAAAUUAUGAAUGGAAGGAGGGAGUUGUUGAAAUGCAGCUGAAAUACUAUGGGUUUCGAGUUUCGACACACGAUAAAUGUACAAAUGGUAUUUUUGUGACUGACAGUGUAGGACUUUAAAAUAUAUGAGGUGUUUAAGUAUUAGUGAAAAACAUAUCGCAUUAGCAGCCAAUUUAGAAUUUAGGGAUUUACAUCAUUCUACAUGUGGGACUGUUCUAAUAGUUUACUCACCACUUCAGUUAACCUUUUGUCGUGGUUUGUUUGUUAUGCUUUGUUUGUUGCUAUUUUUUAAGAUUUUUAUAAACGAAAAAGGAGGGAGGACUCGAACUCAAAACCCCUCGAAAUAUAUCGAUAAUGGAGAGGAAGGACCGAAACUCGGAAUUUAGGGAGCACGGGUAAUAAUUGAGAGUGAAUGGACUCGGACAGAGAAAACAGGAACCGUCCUUGUACAAAUGAUCAAAUUGUCUCGUAAUUUUAAUAUUUGAAAAUUAUUGGAUGAUCGAGAGGAAGUAUUGAAAUUCGGAAUUCAGGAAACACGGCUAACAAAUGAGAGUGAAUGGACUCGAACAGAGAAAACAAGAACCGAAACUGUCCUCGCAUAAUUGAUCACAUUGUCUCGUAAUUUUAAUAUUCGAAAUUAUCUACCAAUUAUUGGCGAGUAAAGUCGUGUUUUAUGCUAUGGCUGUGAUUUUCACUCACUUCAAAUGGUUACUAGAAGUUUUAUCGUGUAUUUUAGUGGCACAGGAAACGAUAACUUUUAUGUAAUCGUAUGAAAAAGCCGCAAGCUGAAACACAUUGUUGUGAGUUUAAGCAUGGCUGGCCUGGCUGUCACGCUUGUGCGAUUAGUUGAAAUAUCACAUGAUUGGGUUGCCUUUUCUAAUGUGUUUCGCUUAUAAGCCAAAGCUUUUCGAUCUUUUUGGGACCCAAGUUUCCAAUUCGUGGAAGCUUUUGGUGCGAGCCAGGGCCAGAACGUAUCAGACUUUACCAGUGGGGGGGACAUUUUUGCCGUAGAUCGAACAGAUGCCAGUGUUUCUAGAACCGAAUAAGUAAGAGCUGCCUCCUCACUUAGAUUCUGUUUGGUUCUACUUAGGGGUGGCAAUAUCAGACACGACACGAACCCGACUCGAACCCGACCCGAACACGCAACCUGAUUUACUGAGACAAAACCCGAAAGUGACCCGAAAAUCACCCGAUUGACACGAAAUGGACCCGAAAUGAUCCGAAAUUAGAAUUUCGUUUCUAAUAACUUCGAUUUUCAGUUUUAUUUAAUUUCAAGUGAUUUUAGCUUGACCCAAAAUCGACCCGAUUGCUGACACGAACACGACCCGUUAUCCGAAUCGAGAAUAGCGGAGACUUUUAAAGAUUCGGGACUGGAAUGAGAAAUUAUAAACGAAAAAUAUAUGAUCACUGACAUCAGUCGAAACUUAAGAAAAUGUUCGAGAGAGUGGGUGAUUAUUCAAAACCAGUUGGAACUUUAAUUCUGCACUACGGAAAUAAGCUUAAAAUAAUAUGUAAAUCUAGCAUAGCAUAUAAAGUUGUAAUUUGCUUGUUCAUACAGCAUAAUUAAGAAUUCGUGUACAGUGCAAAGUCCAGAAUAUGCUUUGUAAUAAAGUCUAGCUUCUUCGCUUGAAUCUAUUUAAUGAGUUGUGAGUUUUAGAAUAAGGGUCCUCGUCCACGGAUGGCUGGAGGCGUGUUAGAAAAUAUACGACUUUGAGAUGGUUGGAUGAAUAUCCAACGAUCAAGAUUAUAAUAAAUUUUAAAUAUGUCAAAUAAUUCUUAACAGGUCAGGAAAAACGACCUCAUCUUGGACUUUUCUCUAGAGGUUAAAAAA
Molecule: long non-coding RNA, 44003 nt
Filed under: Daucus carota (carrot)
Lineage: Eukaryota; Viridiplantae; Streptophyta; Magnoliopsida; Apiales; Apiaceae
Description: long non-coding RNA (DCAR_LNC005894)
Source: RNAcentral